UGUGUGCCCCAUCCGUACCGCUUGUGCCCUGCUGCUUCUUUUUGGGUUUCUGCCUGUGUCUUCUCUUACCCGAAUGCGUGUUGCCGCUGCUCGACGUGCCGCUUCAGCUACGGGCGCUUCCUGGUGGGCGCCCGCACCGAUGCCGACAUGAACCAUGGCAAGGCCAAGCGAGCCAUGCGCACGCGCGCUUUCCAGGACUGGAACAAGACGCAGGUACGAGCGGCUGGGGCCCCACAGCAGAUAGAGCGGACGCAUCGCACAGGACGAGGGUGUCACCCCCAUCCAAGCGGUGUGCCCCAAACUCUUGACCCAACCGCUCACACGCGACACCGUUGCAUCUCACUCCUCUUUGCAUGUCUCAACACGGGAACUCCUCCUCCCCGCCUGAGCGCCCCGUCCCACUUUGCCCCCAAACAGCACCAACUAGCGGAGCAUGGACCGGAAGCUAGCGUGCCCGGCCUGCGCUACGUGCCGCGCCCCGCCUGCCCCUUCUGUACGCGCGAGGCAGCCUGCACGCCCUCCCCGCCGCCCGCCGCCCGCACCGGCUGCUACCCCGCCGGCGGGCACGGCGGCGCCGGCAUGAUCUUCAGUGUGGGGCUGCUGCGGCGGCUGUCGGCGGCGCGCAUGAAGGAGUGCUUCAUGCAGCAGUUUGGUGCGCCCGGCGGGGACUCGCUCCUUUCCACCUGCCUGUGGCGCGAGGGCUACGCCUUCACGGACCCCGGCACGUCCACACUGGCAAUGUACGACGGCAACUACGUGCUGUUCAGGUACGGUACAGAACAGUACAACAGGGGAAUUGUACGGCGCGGUGGUUGUACGGCGUCGAGCCUCUUGUAUCUCCUCAUCACCUGUAGUCAGCUCUGCAGCAUUGACAACGGCAUUACCCAUGUUAAGUGCCCCCACCCGCCUUCUUAUCUUUCCACGCUGCCUAAACCGCAUCCGCCGUCUCAUCGUCCACCCUGCGCAGUUCUGAGGCGGGCAAGUGGGCGCUGCACGACCCACUCACGGUGCUCAUCAGGGGAAAAUGCGACUCGCGGUGCAAGUGGCUCAUCCGCAACGCAGCCAGCCACCACGGCCGCGGCCGGCAUUUCCAGGUGAGCCCAGAUUGCUCUGGUCGUUGAAGCGCUGCUGCCAUACGCCGCCUCCUCCAUUAUCUACGCAACCGAUGCACUGUCCCGGUUGCGUAGAUACGGUAGUGAAGGAGGCGGCGUACGGCGACAGGUAACAUUCGUACCGUAUCACUGACGUUCCCAACCCACUCUACCGAUGUCAAUGUCCACUUCCUGCAUGCUCACAGGGUUUUGGCCAGUCGGCUGCGUAUCUGUAUGCGGCGGUAGCGUCGCAACGCGCGGCGCUCAAAUGGCAGGCCUUCAUGGCGCAGCGCGACCUCGAUUUGAAGGAGCUUGCUGCGUCAAUGCGUGGCGAGAGCGCGGAGCGGGAGGACGAGGAGGAGCAGGAGGAGAGCGGUGGCGAGCGGUCAAAGGGUGACAAAGAGGGCAGCACGAGUCGGCGGAAGAUGCAUAGCGCGGGCGCUAAGGCGCGGCGCGACGGCGGCGCUGCCGUCGACGGCGGCGGGGGCAGCGCUAGCGGCAAGUCGAUCGGGUCCGGGCACCAGCAGCAGCACAGCAAGUCCCAGCACCAGAAGCACCAGCAGCACGAGGGCCUGGCCAAGGGGUGGUUUGGCGGCCGAAAGGCCAGUGGCGGCGGCGCAGCCGCUGCCAGCAGAAAAGCCGUGAACAAAAGGGCUGCGGCGUCCAACAAUGAGGCGCUGCUUGCCUCCAGCAAGACAGCGCAGGCCGCGGAGGCGCUACAGCGGGGGCUCAAGGCGGCGGCGGACGUGGCGGCGGGGGAGCGCCGGGUGGCAGCGCAGCAUGCAGCGGCGGCGGAGCGCGCGCUGGGCGUGCAUGGAGGGCUGGGGUCUGCGUCGCGGUCACUGCAGGGUGAGAAGAGCAGCUGGGAGCGGGAGGGGGAGUCGGAGGUGGGAUUAGAUUAUGUGCCGCAUCGGCGAGGCUACUUUGACAGCAGUGACCUCAAGUGAAUCUGCAGCGUGGCUGUGGUGUUGGAGCCGCGUGCUAGGGGCACAAAGAAACGUGUAAGGCAUACCAGAUGUGUGAUGCAUGCACGUGUGUGCGGCGCACUUGUAUUAGCACGUGGAAGUAGGAGCGUAUCAUAGACUAGCUGUGAGAAUCUUAUUGGUUAAUGCGCACAUGCACAGCGCAGCCUAUGGAGUUAGAUUGAAUUGUAGCGCCGAUGGCCGGCGGUAGGAAGUAAGGACACUAGACAGGAAUGCACAAUUCACCUCCUGCUCAUGGGUCACUGACAGGUAUUGCUAGCCCUUGGGUUGUCCAUUGUUCGCGCAACCGACAAAGUGGUUUCUUUUCUGGUCUCGCCAACAUGAGGCUACACUCCUGGCUGGCACGGUGCCAUACGAGAGCCAUAAGAUGAAAGGUGCUGGGAAAUGUAGGGACGCCAUGCAAGCAACCUAAAACCAUGACCGGCAUGGUAAACAGAUCACUGCACCGCACUUGGGGUUUGCGCGACGCGAAGGGGGGAUUACAGGAACGCACGAUUGCACGAUAGCACACUCAGGAGUCGUACACACUCGUUCUAAGAAAUUUGUAGCAGUUGUCAGCCGAGGCUCCCUGGACAAGGUACCAGCAAAGCAUGUACAGAAAUAGCAAAGCAGACUUCACUCACUCCAAUAUAACGUCAAACACACAGGUACACACACAUACUCGCACACACACGCGCAGAGACACGAAGCCUCCUACGCCUCCUAGUCCUUCAGUGUCAUCCAAUGGCCCUCGCUGUAGGUGCGGCCGAAAUCUCCGACCUCGUCACCCAGCAGCCACAGCACGUACUCGCCGCGGGGCGCCACGCCGGGCUGGGAGGUUGGCGGGGCGGUGACAGUGAUGGUGCUGGUGGCGGCGUCCACGGUGAAGGGCUGCAUGCGGGCAGGCAAGUGGAUGGGGAUCGGUGGGUGAGACCAUUGGGUAGAGGCAAGGUGCAAGUAAAUGGUGCGAAGGAGUACUUGGCUGGAAGCGGCGGCGGCCGUGCAAUGAAUUAUACGCACGCACUCACCAGCACAACAGCCCGCUGGUUCAUGUUGAUGCAAUGGGUGGCGGCGCAGGGCGCGGUGAGGGUAACGCCCGUGAUGUGAACGCCGGUGUACGUGUAGGACACUGUGAAAACACUGUCAGAGGAAUGAGAGGGAUGGAGGAACGGGUGGAGGAAGGGGUCGAGGGAUUGAGGGGUGAAGGGAGGAAGGGAUGCACGUGGCCACGUGGCAUAACCUUGACCGGAAGGUUUCUUUGGGUGGCAUAUGCUGCUGAGGCGCUAAGAGAUAGGCUCAUAGCGUCACAGGCAGCACGCGACCGAGGCCCUCCCGAUGGUUCGCCCCCAGGGUUACUUCACUUACUCUCCGCGGUGGAUCAGGUCGGGGGCUGAGGUAAUGACGGGGCGGUCCACGUCCCUGAUCUCGGCAGGUGUGCCCAGGGUCAGGCGGUAUUCGUAGUCACCGGUGGGGUUGGGGUCGAUGAGCCCUUCGUAGCCGGACGGCUGUGGCAUGCGCAGUGGCAGCAUAGUGUUGCGGUGAGAAGGGAGAAAUAAACAUGCCGUGGAAGGGAAACAAAGAAUCUGGUCCAGGCCCGUUACCGGAAGUUGCGACACCCACCACAGGCAGGGCGCACUCGUCGCAGCCUGAAGAGAAGAUGUGUCCGGUGAUGUCCAGACAGGCGGUGGAGUGGUAGGAGCGCAUGAUCACUGCGUGUGUGUAGUUGUGUGCGGGGAACACGUAAAGAGGCGGCGGGCGACACGUAAUAAGGGGCCGCCAAAGGAAGUCAGGAACGGGGCGGCACUUGAUAUGCCGCAGGAGGGGCGUGCGGACUCACUGGGCAAUGCGGGCCCUAAGCCUAUCAGGUGCAGAGAGAAGCAGCGGGCACGCACACGUGGAUCACGCACGGGCUAGCUACUCACGCACGGGCUAGCUACUCACGCACGGGUGCUGUGAUCUGGUAGCGGCCGCCCUCGGGCUUGCUGGGGUUGUACACGAACGACACCGGGGCGCCGUUGGCAGCCUUGAGCCCAGUGGCAGACACACCCGCACGGCCGGUCUGUGCAUGCGUGCGUGGUGGCCAGAACAGGCGGAGCCGAAAGUAAGCGGACAUUGCAUUGUUAGGUGUAGGCAGCAAGGCAGCAUGCGUGCCACGUGGGCGUCUGGUGUGCGUGAUUGACCGCUGCGACGAAGCCAUGCACAGAUGUGUGCGUGUAUAGCGGCGCUGCUCCAUCGCCACCAGCAGCUAGCGGCCAUGUAGCAAACCGCCUAACCUCUCACGCACCGUGGCGCCGCCAUGCACCAAGAUGCGCUCGUUGGGCAGCACUGCGGAGAUGGCAUGAGUCAAGCGGCAUUAUUAGCUCACGCAGCACGGCACACGUGCACACCCAAGGGGGAGCAAGUAACUCAAGGAUCCACUACUGUGAUUGUUGCACUUGACACAUGCAUUUACCGAUUGCAUCUGCCAGCAGGCGGCGGUCGGGCAUGAGCUCAAUCUGCCAGCUGUGGGGCACGGGGAGCGGGGACGGGGUGAGCCGGAAGUAGUGGGGGUGCAGUUAUCAUUAAGAGCGGGAGGGAAUGGGCAAAGCCACGCACAGACAAACCAUGCACACAGUCACACACCGCAGACACGUGCUGCACUACGCAGGGGGUGUCGGUAUUGCUCACCCGCCGUUUACGACACAGAUGUCCGUGUUGGUAGGGCCACAGUACGCAAAGUCCAGGCGAGCAGAGACGUUUGAUGCGGGGGUGCCAGGCGAGACCCUGUAGGGGUUCUGGCCGCCAAAAAUGGUGAAGGAGAAGGUGUCGUAGACACCAGUAGCGGCGUUGGGUCGCAGGGCGUGCAUGGCGAUCGUGGCGGUGUAGGGGUACAUGGUGUGCCACCUGUGUGCGUGUACGGAAAACAUGGGUAGGUCACACAGCAUGGGACAGGACAGGAGACACAACGAGAUCCUGAGGUUUCCGGGGAUUAUGUGAGUCAAUCAAGGUGUGGCAGUGACGCGCCGCAGUGGAAAAACAGUUGGGUAAGAGACGUGUUUUGAAACGAAACGAAAACUCACGGGCCAUAGUUGGUGGGAAGUGGUGGGAGACUCAGGAUGUCAUUGAAGUGCUCAUCUGUGAUGGAGCCGCCGCGGUCGCCCCACCACAGGAUCUCCUUGUUCGGCAGGAGUGCCAUGAAUGGGUAGCUGCAUGCAAAUAAUGAUAAAGAGGGCAACUUAUAUACGUAACUGUGAGCGUGUGUGAUGGAGGAGGAACUUUAAAGCAGAGCACAGCGAACGUUGCUAGCACAUGCGUGUGUUCGCAGGUUAGGCUACUGGUUACACGCAGGAGAGUACGUACACGGCAACACUCAAUGACUCAACAGAUUCGCGCACACAUUCUGACUCACUAGUUCAGGCCCAUGCUCGCACUGAAGGCCGCGGGGUGCGGGACGGGCGUGGUGGGGGCCGAGGGGUUGUUGGAGUCCCACAGCUCUGAGAAGGUGUAGGCAGGGCCCGAGUCGGAGUUAGCUGUGCCGCCAACCACCAAGACCUGCGUGUGUAAGCAGGUGAUGACCAGGUGGACGGGUGGGCAGGCGGACAGCGGUAAGAUUGGCAGGGCCCGCUGGGGCGCAUGGGCUGACCCAGGUAAGUAAUGGGAAUAUAAUGUACGUAGUCGGGUUUCCCGGACCAUGUGACACGGCAACACGACGGUCGCGCCCGCCACAGGCACGGCUGCCACAGUGCCAGACACAGCAUACGGUACGUACGGACGGCAGGAGCAGCAACGGCAGCACACGGCAGCACGAGGCGACAGCGCACACACACACACACACACACACACACACACACACACACACACACACACACACACACACACCGUAGCCGUGUGUGCACGCACACACCUUGCCGUCGUUCAGGCGGAGGGCGGUGGGGUACCAGCGCGGAACACUCAGCGUGCCAACUUGUAUGUAUUUGCCCGUGGCGGCAUCGUAGCGCUGUUGUGUUGAUGGGGGGAGCGAGGGCAUAUCAAACCUCACGUGAGGUCGCUGAUGCCGAGCAGGUGCUAGGCCUUGGCAGUGAAACAAAUAGAUAUAGCAUGUGCAGGUAGAAGAGGAAAGUGUUUUCCCACAAACCUAGGUUACAGAUCCCGGCUCGAGCCCGUACCGUAGCGCUGAAGCGGCCAUCCACGUUCGCGGGCUUGUUGCCGGAGUUGCCCCACUCGCCGCCCAUGUAGAUGAUGGAUCCUUCCUCAAGGAUGGUGGGGCCUAUGGGGUCCACGGGAUGCAGGGCAGCGAAAGAGCAAGCGCCGCGUGCUUCAGCAGCUUUUGUUGCCCCGCAUGCCACUGAUGGCGGCGAUGAUGCCUGCAGACUGCAGUAGCCUGGCAGCUACGGUAUAAUACUGAACGGGCAAGAGCCAUCCUGAACAAUAAACACGCGAGGCCACAGUGUGGACUCACCGCUGCAGCCAAUGGCUAUGCCCGGAGCGUAGCCAGUUGACUGUCAGGGAAGGAGUGCGCGAGAACUUCCGUUGGUGGUUGGGUAUGCAUGGCGCAGAGAUUGCAAUGGACGCCAGUGUCUGUUUCAACACCACACGAUUCCCCCCCCCACACACACACUCUAGUCAAACAGGCCCCAAGCUUACCGUGUUCGUUUCUAAGUCCAAAGACCCGGCCAUGGGUGUCCAGGUGGAAGAGACACGGCGCCAGCCUUGCAUGUACUUGCGAGUGCGGGGAAUAUUGGCCAGUGACAGUGAAACAACCUUGGCUGUGAAGGGCAAAGCCUCGAAGUAGCCAGCGGGCGCAGCAGUGCCAGGGGCCAGGGGAGGGAAGGGAGGGAGAGGGGGAGGGGGCGAGGGCGGAGGGGAAGGCGGGAAGGGUGACGGAGGCUUAGGCGGGCUGGGCGGGGGGCUAGGCGGCUUGGGUGGGGGCUUGGGCGGGCCGGGUGGCUUGGGAGGGGGCUUCGGAGGGCCGGGCGGCUUGGGAGGGGGCUUGGGAGGGCCGGGUGGCUUAGGAGGAGGCUUGGGAAGGCCAGGCGGCUUGGGCGAAGGUGGAAGAGAUGUUUGCAGCAGGCUACGGCCAGCCUGCGCGGGGUUCGGAGGGGUUUAUUUAGGUUAAGGCAAGAGACAUGACAUCCCCGGACAUCACAUUGAGCUUUAAGCUAUACGUUCGACACGAUGUUUCUCGACGCAGUCUCAAAAUGAUGUGCCUUGCUACUAACUUACGUAUGGAUUCGCAUCAGCCAGUGUAAGCGGAGUGCGCGCCUGCGCGCUGUGCGGCAUCGCGGUGAAGAUGGCAAUAACCAGCACGGCAGUCGCGACGCUGCAGCCCACAGCGGACCCGCCGGCGCCACGCCGCUGCAUGUUACAACACAUUGGUAUGCCGCGCAUGUAUCGUAGGUGCAAGGCGCACUCGGGUUAAGCAGAGCCGCAGCGCAGUGCGUGCCGCCAGCCUGGCUGGCGCAGGGCCUGAUCUUGGGCCUGAUUCGAACUUUCUGCGUGCCAAGCGAGAGCCCUGCGAAUGUGCAACUCCACUACAUGUUUUGUAGCCUGCUUCACCAUUUAUAGAUCAAACGUGACAGACGGGCUCGUAAAUGCGUUGGCUGUCUGUCGUUUGGCCCGACCAAGGCCCGACAGCUUUGUAACUGGACUUUGCACAGGCACACGAGGCAGGGCGAGGACAGAUGUUUUCUACAUUCUUCAUCUAUCUACAUUCAUCCAUUGUAACUCCAAGCAGCGAAUAAGGAGGCUCCUGCCAAAGGAUCCAACCGCGAACCGUCAUUUAGCGCCUUUACUCUUGCGUUAGUGCAAAAAUAGUGGAAUUAGCGAUCAUUCACCAUGUAAGCUUGCGCAACGUCAUCGUAUAUUCAUGUGUUACUUCUAUACUGCUUCCUGACAAGACAGUUCGGGGAUCAUUCAGUUCGGGGAUCGUUCAUUGUUCAUGGGCCUCUGCAAUUGGUGCAAUAUGCGCGUGCAGAGGCCUGGAGAAGAGGGCCUGGGGCCUGGGAAAUAGGAUUUACUCCUGCUUCGGGGCGAGGCACAGACUGGCACACUAGGGCGUGUGUCCCGAGACCACGCACCCCGAGGCAAGUAUGAACGCGGUGACCGUUCAGAGCCACCACUGCUUUCCUUUUCCUUCCGUGCCGUGCUCGAUGCCUCGACCUACGUGCAGCGCGCGCCCGAAUGUGCGACGCCCCUGAUGCAGAGCAUGCAGCCCCACCGCAGUUCCACACUUCCACCUCCUGCUUAGCGCACGUCCUUCGCCACCUGCAGACUCAAAGUCAAAGGCUGUCUCAACUCUCAAGAUCGGUUCACCGGUCCAGUGCGUGACCACUGAACGGCUGUCACCACCACGGCACGACCCACGGCCAAGCCCAUGGCCUCGAUUCUUGUAUAUCAGCAAUUCCGUCCCCAAACCAUGCUCACUUGCUGGCUAACGCUUUGAGUCUUGGAUGUAUGUCAGUCAGUCACAGUUCCCGAACACUCAACACGCGUGAAGAUAUCAUGCCCACCCUACUGCGGCACAGCACUCAAGCACGUGCUCUAAUCGGGAUGAGGCGGCUUUCAACCCACAAGAUCGAACCUGCUUGACGACGCGAUUGGCUUAGCGCAAUGAAGCGCCUAGGUGAAGAGACCCGGGCUCCUCUGAGAGCGCCAACUCAUCGCUCGCAAGAUUGCGCUCGGCCAUAUCAUGCCCACAACUAAUCCCUCAUUUGCUGCUCUCGCACUCGCACUCCUCUCAACAUGUCUGCUCACACAUUACGAGGCGGCCCCCUUCAGUAAACCAGCAGCCAUACGCGACCGUGCGUGCUGUUUCAUUCUUCUUAAGCGGCCACACAGCAGGCCACAAGGCCGCAGACACGGUCACCUCCAAAAACAGGGAACCCAUUCUUCUUUAGCAAUAUGGCAUUAAGCUACCUCUUGCCUCAUCAACACGCACGUGGUCUCUUACACGUGCUUUCUAACACACGUCACCGCAGUCCGCACUUCUACUUGUCCUGCUUUUCCCCCUUGCCGCCGCCUCGCCCCGUGAGUGACUUGAUCCAAUCCGGGAUCCAGCGUGGCGCCACGAACAGCGAGCGACCCGUGGCGUACACCGUGCCUUUGCCGUUGGUGACCGUGGCUCGCAUCCACACCUGCACACCGCACACGUGGGGAUGCCAAAGCAGGAACACUUGAGGGCGCCGUUUCCCACCAUGCAUGUUUGCAGCCUCCGCUCGAGCAGCUGGCGCCAGCUCCUGCCCUUGCCGCACACGCUAUGGUUGCGCGCACAUGCGCAAGUUGCCUAGAUCCUGGCCUGCCCAGCCCAAAGCACGGCAUGACCUGCACACCACAGCGGCCACCGACGCGGCCCACCACCACUUAGACUGCCCCCCUUGCCCUCGUCCGUGCGCCCGUAGCCUCUCACCUUGCGGUCUGCCACCUUCUCCACCUCCGUAGACACCAGAAUGACAGAGCCGCACGGGAUUUUCUGUGCGACGUGUGACACGGGUGGAAGCGGGGGACUAAGACGUGGAGGUGCAUACGUGCGCCGAGCCGCUGAAGCCGCAUUGCCACAUCCCGCCUCCUGACAGCCUCCGUACCUCCGACAGCCAAGACGGCCCAUGAUUACAGCCCCUCCACGCGCGCAUGCCUCUUCGCCCCUCAACCUUGCCCCUCGUCCCUUCCAAACCCACCCAAGCUCUCUACCAGCCUCCCUCGCACACCUCCCCCUCCACACCUCCCGUUCCCCACCUCCCUCUCCCAACACCUCCCGCUCCCCACACCUCCCUCUCCCCGCGCCUCCCUCUCACCCGCUUGUAGUCGACCUCCAGCCGGGCCGUGUAGGCGGGCGGCCGGAAGCCCAGCUGCCCGCUCCGCCACAGCGCAACCGCCAGCCCGCCUAGCGUCUCGUCCACCAGGGCCGCCGUGAGGCCGCCGUGCACGGUCUGCGGGAAGCCGCACACCUCCCUGCAGGGUGCGGAGGCGGGGGUGUGCGGUGCAGGUGCGGUGGAGGGGCGGUGCUGGGGACGUGAGCAAGGGAUGCGCUUGAGUGACGGCGAACGCACGCACAGCUUUCACACAUGCCGGCACACAAUUAUCUGCAGCGCACUAUUCGCAUGCGCAAUCUUCGUAUACCGUACAUACCGUCGGGUUAACACCUUCCCGUUCCCGUUCCCAACAUGCGCGCGGUUGAAAGGCGCGCAUCAAGCUGCCCCCGAUCCCUUCCUCUCUCCCCCUCCCCCUGCCUCCACUUUCGCCUCCGCACUCACUUGCCCAGCUCCACCACACUGUAGAACAUCUGUUUGCGCGUGUCGUAAAAGCAGCGCAGCUCCCGAAUCUGACCGCUCACAACCAUCGUCUCGAACUGCGAUGCAAGGAGGACGCCCCCGUCAGACGUCGACGCAGGGAGAUAGGCGUGCACAUGGGCAUGGGAGUCAUGUGCCAACUGCAGCCGCCGUGAUGGGCGUCCGCGUUGCCAAUGAUUGGUGCGUCACACAACCCCAGGUGAGCAUCGGCAGUUUCUUACAAGCAACAACCAAUCAACAGCCUACCGCCCCCGCCUCGCCCCCGCCCCCCUGCCCUUCGCCCUCAAGCCCUCCACCCAGUUGUGUUACAUAACCCCCGGUCAGCAUCGGUAUGCGCUUCUACCCAUAGCCUCAUCUCGGCCGUCAACGGCCUGACGUCUCAAGCUCCCCUGCCUCUCCACGGCCUCGGCCCCCAUGAUAAGCUCCCUCCCCUCCCCUCCCCUCCCCUCCCCUCCCCUCNNNNNNNNNNNNNNNNNNNNNNNNNNNNNNNNNNNNNNNNNNNNNNNNNNNNNNNNNNNNNNNNNNNNNNNNNNNNNNNNNNNNNNNNNNNNNNNNNNNNUCCCCUCCCCUCCCCUCCCCUCCCCUCCCCUCCCCUCCCCUCCCCUCCCCUCCCCUCCCCUCCCCUCCCCUCCCCUCCCCUCCCCUCCCCUCCCCUCCCCUCCCCUCCCCUCCCCUCCCCUUCCCCCCGCGGCCUCACCAGGUGGUCCUGCUCCACCACCAGCUUGCCCACCGGGUGCCGCCGCAGCUGCUGGCCCGGGCUCAGCACCUCCUCAACGCCCUCCUCCUCAGCCAGUUCGCGGACCCUGACAGCGGCAACAGGACAGAGAGGGCCGGGCCACACGACGGCGAGGGGUUAUCAAGGCAAGGGGAUGGAGUGGGGCAAUAGGAUGCACGUGCCAGGAGGCAGCCAGCACAGGCACAAUUAAAGCCGGCAGCGAGCGCGGCCCUGUGGAGCACGGGCGCCUGUGAUGCAAUGUGCGCCCAAGUCGGUGGGCCGGCAGGCGACACGCGGAUGACACGCGGACGACACGAGGUUGACACUCGGCGCCGCUGCCACAACGCCCCUGGCAUGGCGGUGGACGGCAACGCGCCAAACCCCCAACCCUGUCGCCGCCAAUCCCGUAUCAUGCCCCGGCACUUUUCCUCCUGCCGCGAUGAGUUGCCCUGCCCCAACCCCUUGCAUCCUCCCUCGUUUUCAUCCCAGGAUAACCUCAUUCAGUCUCACCAUGGGAUGCGGUCACUAGACAGGUCACCGUCCCCCUCGCUGUCGGUUGCCCGAUUGCUCUGGGCCAGAGCAAAGGCCGCGCCAGCGAACAAGACAGCAGAGCCGCCUAGACGCGCACCGCCCUUGGCAAGCACUGCGCGCACGAGGAGCGAGAGAUAGUGUGAUGUUGGGGCGGGUAAGACCGCAUCGGGCAGGGUGGCGGGAGAUGAAAGAGGAAAAGCGGGGACGUGGGUGUGCCUACCGUGUGGCACGCGCCACAGUUGCUGGGCAGCGCCCGAUGCACCGCCCGCGUCUUGCUCUUCCCGUGCACAAGCCACGCAACAAGCCCCUGCCAUGUGCGUGGAAAGCUGCAAAACUCUGCUAAUCACCUUGGAGCACGGGCCCGAUGUGCGCGUGAGCGGCUGUCACACAGAAAGUUCGGGAGCCAGGCCCCUGCUGCUGCCCAGGCGCUGGCGGUAGUCGCGGUAGCACGGGCCCACGCCACGCCUGAACCAGCGCUGCAAACUGGCGCCCUCCCGGCAUCAUGACUGCUAGCGACUGCGCUCGAAGCGCGCCCUGGCUUGCGCGCUUAUGCAGACUCAGCAAACGGCAAAAACGUUGCGCUCAAAAUCUAGCACGUUUAUGCAGCGGCUAAUCUGAUUGAAUUUGCAGGUAUUAUCGCUCUUAUCAAUUAGCUUACUGGGCGCAGGGAAAGGGCGCUGCUUCAGUGAGAAGUCGAGUGAAAUUGGUAUCCCUGAAACAAACGCACUGUUGACUGUGCCUUCACGAAUGCUUAUGCAAAUACCCUGCAGUGGUGUUUAUGUAUCAUUAUCGUUGAAAGCCCGGACAGAAAUCAACCUUGCCGCACGGAAACCCCCCCCCCCCCUUCCCCCGCUUCUCCACGCCGCCCCACCGCCCACCGCCACGCGUGGACAGUAGUGGAACCCCCGCCGUACACCUUCAGUUUCUCGUGAAGUAAGUAUCUAUUAUGGCAUGUUGCGAGUGGCAGUCCGUGGCGACGAGCCCAGGCCCUGGCAACGCCAAGAGCUUCGUUCAGGUUCGUUCCUGCCUUGUUGAUGGGACCCCAUCGUGUGCCGUCCAACUCAUGCCGAAUGGGGCUUGUGGUGGAGUUAUCCUAAAGCUAUACCACAGCUUACAGCACUCAAAAGCAGCUGGACAGUUCCAAGUGGAAAACAUACGCUGCAAUUGAGCUGGCAAUUGCCUAAGUAGCUUUGAACAAAGUGCGAGCACUGCUAUGAACAAAAUUCCCUUGCCAAAAUCUACAUGGGAUAAUCUAACGCCUGAGCUCGUGCGUCGCAUCGCCGAAUGUCUCCACCCGAACGAGGUGGCUUCGUCGCUUAAACUUGCCAACAGCGACACCGCCGCGGCCUUGUCAGACUAUAGGACCCUGUACUUGGCGCACGAUGGCAAAGAUAUAUAUAUUCGCCUGAAGGCGCAGCAGCCGUGGCCCGGGCACGCCUUCGUGGCGCACUGGGGGCGCCCGGAGCCGUGGCGCGAGCUAAGCCUUCGGCAGCGCGAGCGGUUACUAUGCCUGGCCGCGUCCUCGGGUCAUGCCGCCAGCCUGGACGCGGCGCUGCAUUUCAGCGGCUGCGCCCUGAAGCCGUCGGUGCUGACGGCGGCAGCUGUCGGCGGCGACGAGCUGGCGUCCAAACGCCUGUUGGCCGAAGGCUGCUCCUUAGACGAGGGCGUCUUUCGUGCAGCUGCCCGCGGCGGCCACCUGCGGUUGAUCCAGCUGCUGCUUAACACGACCGUCAGCAACUACCUCUGGACGCCGUGCCUUGCCGCGGCGGCGCAGGGCGCCUGCGCCGGCGGCCAGCUCGCCAUUCUCACUUGGCUGCAGCAGGAGCAUGGCUACAGCCUUCGUGCGUCCAAUGUGGGGGCGGCGGCGGAGGCGGGCCACGUCGAGCUGGUGGAGCGCCUCAUGCCGCUGGUGCCGGACUGCGCGCCAGCCCAAGAGGCGUGGAAGGAUUGCGACCCGCAGGAUUUCCAGGCGGUGCGGGACCUGCGGUCCUCGCGGUGGGAGCUGCUGAUGGAUGUCGUGAGUGGCUGUCCCGUGGAGGUGCUGCAGCGGCACCACGACCGGCUCUGGCACUGGCCACGCCGUCAGCCGGUGCUGCUGCCGGGUGACUUGGCGAACCCGGCCGCUCUGGCUGCGGCAGUCGCCGCCGGCUACGCCGGAGCCGAGGCAGCAGGCGUCCUGGCGGGUGGCCGUGCUGACUUGGAGGCGGUGGUGGAAGCGGACGUCCCGGAGGACGAGGACCAGUCGUGUCCUGCUGAAGACGUCAGGGCCUAUCUGUGCAACCUGUUUAGGGCCGCCGCCUGCAGCCCCACGCCCUGCUGGGCCGCGAAGCUGUCCUUCCUGCUGUCGACGUGGGGCCCGCGGGUGGAGGCGACGCUGAAGGCUGGGCGAUACCUGGAUCUAGGAGAGCUGUUCGAUGCGAUGGCGACCGAGCGGCCCGACUACCUGCAGCGUCUCAAGCACCUUGCCGACAUUGGGGUGGCGUUGGACUCGCAGGCGGCGGAGGCGGCGUUUUCCCGCUGCCGCGUGGAGGCGCUGGUGUGGCUCGUCGACGAGUGCGACGCUCUGCCGGACGAGGUUAUUAUUGAUUACUGCAUCAUCAUGCGCGGUACGGCGACAGAAGCGAGCGACUGCGUUGCGGUGCUGGAGGCGCUUAGGCAGCGAGGGUGGGUCUUUGAGGCAAGGUAUCUUGCACGGUCGCCGAUCUUUGGGUGGCCGGAUGCGGCGCUCUUGUGGCUGGCGGAGGUGGGGGAAGACGCAGACGCGGAGAGCCCAGAGGGUGCCACCGCGCCAACAGCGGGGGAGGUGCGGGCGUGGUGGUCGAGAAUCUUUACGCGCGCGGCUCAGGAGGGCGCCAGCCUGCCUGUACUGCAAGCGCUGCGCGCGCGGGGCGCAGCGGUCGACUUGGCGGCGGUGGCGCAGGCGGGCGGCGAGGCGGCACUGGCGUGGGCGGCGGCACAGCUGCUUGCAGAGGGUGCCGAGGCGGCGGCGGGUGCAGCAGGCAGUGGAGGAGGCGGUGGCAUGACUCUGCAGGUGAGCCAAAAGCGCCUGAGUAUUAGCGGUUGUUUGUGUGGGUGCCGUCUGGGUUGGCAGCACCCAGCAUACGUGCGUGCGUGUGUUGGCUGGGUCUUGAGGCAUUAGCAGGGGCACCCUUCCGGCGCACCUUGUGCCCUCUGCACACGCCCGUACUCAGCCUCCUCCUUUGUCGACUUUCGCUUUGCCCAUGCAGCCCCUGAGCCGUGAUGAGGCGCUGAGGUGCUACCACGGCGGCAAUGUUGCCGCACUGGACUGGCUGCGGUCCCACGGGCUGCUGCCACCGCUCAGCUGCAACUGGUUGCCGACGCUGAGGGAAAUGUUGCACGGCAAGCAAUGCCAGUGCAGCUCCUUCUGGUCCCUGCAGCUGUGGGUGCGGCUGCAGCUGCAGCUGCAAAUGGAUGCAGACCAGCAGGCGGUGGGGGGCCCGCCGCAACAGCCACAACAGUUGCAGCGUCAGCAACCGGCGGCGGCGGCGACGGUGGCGGCCGCGGAUGAAGAUGAGCCGGCCGCGGAGGAGCAUCCGAUGCAGCCACAUGAACUGGCGGUGGCCAACAGCAGUGCAACGGGUGAUGCCGCCGCGUCGCGUGCUGUCAGCCUGUGGUUGGCCGCCAAGGAGAUGGCUGGCCAUGCUGAUCGGGUUCGGCGUAAACGGUACGAGUUGGAAUGCAUGUGGUGCGGUGGCGCCAACAACGUGGAUGUGGGUUUGUACGAGGUCGUGGCUCUAGAACACCAGCACGCCUGGAUGGAGCGGCAAGCGGAGCGGCUUUAAGUUGCUGAAAGCAGGUAUGAGAACCUUUUGGCAGGCUGAUUUUAUGCUGAACGUUGUGACCACUAUCUAACAUAUCACGUUUGAUGGCUCACAUGAGGAUUCAUGACAGCGGCUCAGGCCCUCAGCGUCCUUGCCAGGGGUACUAGCCCCUGGCUGCCCUGGCCUGCGCUCCGUCGGCUUGCAACGUAACCAACUUCUCAGGACCUUCGGUUUUUCCUGGGAAGACGCUUAACUGACAAUGUCUCAAUGUAGAUUGCUACGUCAAAACAAAGCUACGCACCUGUCGCUUGAGGCUUGGGCACGAACGAAGGACUGCGCGCGUGGCGUGUGCGUGUAUUGGUCUGCCGGCAUGGAAGGCGGGGAAGCAUCGAUGGCGGAGCAGUGUACCAAUAAACCGGAUGCGGCUGAUUGGAUGUGUACGUGCAUAUGUUGAAGCAACCAGCUGCCGGUCGCGGAGCUACUUCUGCGUUUAGCGAGUCAGGCCGCGAAAUUCCAGUUUGGCACCAAGUUGCUCAGGUGUCUUCGAUUUAACAAACGUGUUAUACAGCACCAUUAAUAUUUUUGCAUGGGGUUGCGACUCAGCAUACGUUUCACCGGAUUUGUGGCAUCAUGGCACUGCUAGAAAGCAGCUUCAGCUUUAAGCCACUGGCGCCGGAAUAAUGCAAGUUUGAUGUCAUAAAGAACUUGGGCUGCCGCGGCUGGUAGCAGCUUGCACACACGUGAUUAUUGCAAGCAGACUCAUGACCCGGACGUUGGCGUCCGGCGGCACUCGGGGCGUCAGCUGUCGGGCUGCGCUGGCGCUGGUGCUGCUCAGCGGCCUGCUCGGCUCCAGCGUAGCUUCUAGCAGCAAGAAGAAGCGCACGGGCCAGCCUGGGCUGGCUCCCGCAACCCGGGUGGUCCCUGUGGAGGAGCUCCUCGAAUACGGCAGGGUUGAGGGCAGCAGCAGUAGCAGCAGCAGCCGGGAAAGUGGACCAGGUGGCGAGCAACCCCCAAAGCCAGGGGAGCUGUACGGCCUGACAGAUGACGACUUUGUGUACGCAACGGGCACAUGCCGCGAGCGCAUGCUCCUGGCCAAGUCCACGAGGGCGUGGCGGAGAGGUGGGCGGGGCGGGGCGCGUGCUGCGCGGCUACGCACUGAAACCGUGCAUGUUUGCGCGCACAAGGGAAAGGGGAGCGCAGUGCCCUGCAUGUACCUUGUAGGGUAAUGACAAGCGCGCGCGCGCCCAAGCGCUCGAUCCUACCAUAAUACUGCGUGUGCAACUGACUGUGCGACCGACGCAGCUCAGAUGCCAGCUUUCCUACCCAUUGCGCUCAGCACCAAGCGUUUGCCUGCACUAUGUCGCUGCCAGGCCUGCGCGGCUUCUUCCUCACGGACGUAAACGACACCUCCAAGCUCGCCGCGCUGAACGCCGAGGGCGCCGACGGCUACGGCGAGGCGUACGCCUACUUUCCCAACGAUGGGGACCCAGGGCUGGGGGGCCGCCGCCACGGCCGCAUGGGCGGCGACACGCGCGCCGCCGUCGCGCCUUUUGCCGCGUACAGGUGAGUUUGCUGCUGGAGCGCAAGUCGGAGAGCGUAGGGAGGGACAGUGGGUAGCGGGAGGCGCAGCUCGAUGCAUGCGGGUGCGGGCGGAAGGGAAGUGGUUACCGUAUGUGAUUGGGCAUUUGGGGUACGAUCUGGAACAGGCUGACAGGCAGACGCGGUGACGGCCGUGGUGCACCAGUGACUCGUGGCUCCGUAGGUUACAGGCCCGUGCGUGUGUGUGUGUGUGUGUGUGUGUGUGUGUGUGUGUGUGUGUGUGUGUACACGGCACGUGAGCAUCCCGCUCUGACAGCAUCCGGCCGUACCGCUCGCUUGUGCCGCGCCCGUCGCAGACACUACGGUGACACAUUCAAGUGGAUGCUGUACGGAGACGAUGGUACGUGCGACGUCACUGCUUCUUCUGCGUGCCCGGUUGUCCGUGCGCAACGUGGGGGCCGCGCCCCAAUGCCAGUUUGCGGCCGAUGUUAGGCGCCAGCGCUGUGGGCCCCUGUUGGGCGAUGCUUGACUGAGUUGUCAUGCUUGCGCGAUUGCUGACGCGUGGCGCUGCCGCAUGCGGGGCUGUUUACCCGGCGGCUUGCUCUUGCCUCGAACAUGCACACAGACACGCUGUUCUACCUGGACGCGCUGAAGCACAUGUUGUCAGAACACGACCCGCAACUGCCGCUGGCGUUCAGCGACAACCUCUGGUGCGGUGGGGAGGCACAGGCGGGGCAGUGCUGUACGGCGCUCGGUGCAUGGCGUGGCGUGGUGGGGCGUGGCGGGGCGGCGGUUUGCGGCGCACACCCCAGUCGGGGCUUGCUUGUCUAGAUUGGAAAGACAGGCUAACUGGGUUGCUUGUGCACUCUGCGCAAAGCAUGUCACAGGCGCGACACUCAGGCGUGUGCCCACACCGGCGUGUGCCGCACCGGCCGUCCACCGCCGGCCCGUGUGUUGGUGUGGCGUACGUGCGCAGGUACGACGGGCGGCACCCCAACCCGCAUGCGCCGCGCUGCUUGCCGUGCGCCAUGGCCAGUGAGCAGCUGCCGACCCUGGCUGAGGUGCUCAGCACACCUCACAUGCAGGUGCGGGGCAGGGCAGGGCGCGUGGUGAAUGCCCGGAGGGAAACGGCCGGCGAAAGGUUUCCGAGGAAAAGCGGGGAGUGCGGUUUUGGGGAAGUUCGUGACAGCAGCAUAUGACCGGUCAGGCGCUGCAAAAGCCCUCGCUCUCGCAGCAUCCGUGUUCCGGUCUUGCAACUCAGCAGCCUGCCUCGGCUGCGGGUCUCGGACUGCGCGCCACAACCCGCAUGCCGCCGCAGACGCUGAUCCUCAAGGGCUACCACCCUAGCAUUAGUGCCGAGACGGCAAUGGAGAUCGCCCGAAACGCCACACCGGUCAGUAGGAGUCUCACCAGCCGCGGGCUGUGAGAGGGCUUGCUGCUCGAAUGUCUGCUGCUCGGCGGCCACAAGCAACAAGGAACACAGCGCACGGCACUCGCUGUCCUUGAUACGUAACAUUAUUGUCGCAACCCGCAGAGCCCCGGUCGAAAAUUUGUGCCGCGCCCGGCGUGCCCCUACUGCACGCCCAAAGACGCGUGCCCCGAGGUGCCCGACCCCCGGCGGCCCUGCAAGGUGAGUAGAAAGGCAAUGGCGCGCCCUGGCACCUGGCGGCGGGGCUCGUGGGGACGCGCCAAUUGUACCUCUGCCAGCGCAAACCACCACACGGCCACAUGCACCGCGCCUGGCCUCCAGCCUAGCUGUCGCAUGACGCAAUAGCGCCUGAAUUUAAACCUCAUCAUCCGCGUAAGCGCGCGGUAUCACUCACCGCAUGUCAUUGCUGCAGCCCUCUGGCGCUCACGGCGGCGCGGGCAUGGUUUUCAGUGUGGGGUUGUUCAAACACGUGGCCUUCCCGGACUUCAUCAACUGCGUCACCAGCAUGGAAGAGGCGCCUGGGGGAGAUUACCUGGUGCGUGCAAGGGGGGGGGGUUGCAAGGAUGUUUGGAAAAGCGGUACAGGAUGCACUGAAGGGGGGGGGGGGUUGUAAAUACCAGCCCAUAAAUAAAUCAAGGUGGGGCCGUAAUAUGUCCGAAUAUAGCCCAAAGGAUAGGUCCCAGCGUCAAGGAACCGUCGCCCAACUCAGGAAUGCAUGGGAGCCUGGCGGGGAGCUGCGUGGGGCCUUGGCGUGGCGUGGCGUGGCGUGGCCUUGGUGGGGUAGGGAGGGGCGAGGGAGGGCAGGCGGGGGUGACAAGACGGCGUGGGGUGGGAAGCCUGCCUCGCCUAACUCCCUGAUUCUCUUGGUUACUAGUAUGGUCGUCUUGCAAGCCGAGCCAAGCCAAGCUGAGCUGCUUUGAACACCUGCCUCGUGAGCCGUGACCCGCGCACACACACACACACACACACACACACACACAUUUACACAUGCGCACGCACGCACACACACACACACACACACACACACACACACACACAUGCGGGCACACACCAACAUCCCCACACGUGCCUGCAGGUGUCUUACUGCCUGUGGCAGGCCGGCAUCGCCUUCACCGACCCGGGGCCGCUCGUGCGGGCGCGCUACGACCCGCGGUUCUACGUGUUCAGCGGCAAUGCCGUGAUGGGCUACCUUUUUGACCCGAUCGGCAUGCUCACACACGGUGGGUGGCAAAGUGUGGUGGUGUAUGUUGUGUUUUGUCGCGUUGCACUCUGUUGCGGUUGCUGCGUUACCGUAUGUUGUGUUGUGUUGUGUUGUCGCACCAGUUGACAAUGUUGUACCGGCAGAUAAGGCGCACAUGCACCUACGAGAACGAAACUCAUCAACCGUUGUCAUGACUGCUCGCGUAACGCCUUGUCGCCCGCCACCGCCCCCGGCUUGCUUGCUGUACGUCGCACGCGCCCUCACAGGCCGCUGCGAUGCGCUGUGUAGAUGGGGAAUGCGCAACAGUUUGUCGCUGCACGUGAAGGGCCGGCACUAUCGCACCUUCCGGGUAGGUGUAAGGCAUGGGGCGGUAUGGAGCGGGGCGGCGUGAAGCGGGGCAGGGCGGAUUACUCAGUUCCCGAAGAGCAUGCUGGGCCUGAUGCAACGCACAACGUCGUUGUUGCAUUCCCUCCCUUCACGCCUUCUACGACCGGUGCCACUGACGCCGCAGAUCAGCAGCAUGCACAUGUGGGGAGUGGCCUACGCCGCACAGGCUGCACUCGAGUGGCUAAAGCUGACGUCGGCGCCAGACGAUGCCAAUGGUGGGACCGCUGCGAAGCGGCCUUACGGAAUGAUAGAUUUGAUCAGCGAUCAAGGCGCUCCAUCGAGUGGCAAGGCAGCGGGAGAGGGAAGUGGUGGGAAUAGGGAUGAGGAUAGCGGUGAGGUGAGCGACGGAAAGGAGCGCAAGCACGCGAGCCGAGCGCAACGGCGCCGGCGGCGCCAACUGCAACCGACUUGAGUGGGACUUGACGACGUGCCGGGGAGCGGGCGCAUAGAAAGGGAACAGGCGGCGGAGUUGGAGGUGGAGGAGGUGGAUGUCCGGACACUAGGACAGGAAGUGGUCACAGAUUCAGCGCACCUGUGAGAGUGAUGGACCAUACGACGUGGGCGGAGGGGGACAGCAGGCGUGAUGUGCAGCAAUUAUCCGGCCCCUGAGAGCGCUCAGUCCCCAUGCGUAGCGCGCGGCGGGGCCCAUAUGGAGCGAGCCUGGUGAUGACAUGAGCGUACGGGCUGUUGGGUUGCAACGUACAGGUGGUGAUGAGGCAGACUGCGCGAGCGUUUCGCAGCAGGGCCGGAUGUCUGGGAUCAGUGCUUAUGCUGGUGCCUGUCGAUGUGUGCGUGAAGGCGAGCGCUGCUGUAUCAGGUUGGCUGCACGGCGAACGGCGGGGCCCGGGCAGUCCCCACUGGUCAACAGGCCAAGCCGUGUUGUAAUCUUGUUACAUGGCUGAGAGAGCGUCUAAGCUGGUUGAAGCCGACACAGACAAACAGACUUACGCCCCAUGUUGCUGUACUAUAUCUUGACCCUGCAUGUGGGCUCCCAGUCAACGGCGCAGACCCUGCAGCCAUGGUUCGGCUCACAACCGACGCCCGGCAUGCACACGUUCUGGCGCACACGUUCAAUGCCGCCGCGUUCUCGACUCAUCAUCAGGCGGAUGUGUGCACGCACAGAGAGUUCAGAGGUUUGUCCGGCGCCAGCCACGGGCGCCAGCAGACAACACCAAAUGUCCUCCACAUGCCACAGCCCCCUGGCCCUACUGCCACACGCGCCUUGAUAGCCCACUAGCCUCUGAUGCCUCCCCCCGUCAUGUCGCUUCGCCGCUGAUACCUUGUUCAAGCCUCGAUGCCUUGCUCGAUCCCCGCACAACGCAUCCGCUUCGUUGACCAUCGUUCACGCCGCCACCACUGGCCACACCCCGAGUUUGUCCUCCACCAACCACCAGACCUAGCUAGCGUCCGUCGGCACGUCCCUGUGGCUGCACCCCGACAGCUAUACGUACAAGUAGCAGCUUGGAUAAUUAUGCAUUGCCGCCCACGUGGUCUGGGGAAGCCCUUGUGACAUCCGUUGACAAAAGUAAAUUGAGCACUCGUCAACACGUGCACGCGGCACGGUUCCGCUAGUGCAUCCCACACCCACACAUCUCAUAGUCACGCCCCCAAUGCAUCCGACGCCCUGACAUUGAUGGCCCAUCCCCACCGCAGGACCCACCGGUGUGCACCAUUCCCAGCAAGUCUUGCUUGACAUCAUGCGUUACCCAGGAAAUGAGCGCAGCCGUUUCAAUGUACUUACGUAAUACCGCCUGCUACACAGGUGCUGCGACCAGCGCCUGCCUGCCUGCUCAUGCAAUGGCAAGCGGCCAUGGGCGUUCCUUCCCAGUCCUCACCUGCCAGUACGUCUUGCACUCGACACGCACCAGACCCUAACGCGGCAGCAUCUGGCCCACGCAUAUGCCGCGGCUCAACGGGCACAGCGCGGCUCAAGAAAGCAGAACGUACCGCCCCAUGCUGCUGACUUGCCAGACCACACGCGCACCAAGAAGCGAGCAGUCAUCCGUGAAACCGCACACUGCCCUCCAGCAGGCGCGGCCCACUGAGCCCAUGGCUGUGCGGUGCAUGCAGGCCGUAGCCCCGCCGCCGGAUGCACAUGCAAAACACUGAUCUGGGUGAAGUGGCAAGUCGUCCCAGCCCGGGCCAUCAACACACACCCAAAUACUGUGGUUGAAACAAUCUUCCUCUCACUGACUGGUGGACAUAAAGACCAACCCAACCCUGAUGGUCACGCCUGAUGGUUCUAUCGCCUGCUUCGUGAUAAAUUAGCGUUCCGCUACCGUAUGAACAAACCGCCGCCGGCCCGAGCACAGGAACACGCGGCAUCUAUGGGUUCUAACCAUGAACGAGGGCAUGCAUGCGUCAGUGGCCAUAACCACGUAUGCACAACGUGCCUAUUCUGUAAGGUAGUAAGAUAUUUAUCUUCGCGCCCAACGACUGGGCGGGGCCUUGGGCGGGGCUGCUGCUAACUCCUCCGCCCAAGCUACUAACGGCACGUCGGAAAAGCGAGCGCAAUUAGCGCCCAUCCAUCCACGCUGCCGCAUUCACGGUAUUGCAUUGCACAGCCAUGAAUGCACGAUGAAGCCGAAUCAGCCACAACCCAAUUGGCCACAUCGGCUGCAAGCCCGCAUUUCUGCCUUUCCCCACACAGCGUGUACACAAGGAGAGCUUGGCAAGCUUGGUUUCAGCAUCAUCAACACCGUACGGCAGACACAGGUGCCGUACAUCCGCUACCUCAGUAAGCAAUAACCCACCACGCCUGCUGCUAUUAUUUACCACGAGCCAUAACGCCCUCGUAACGUCAAGCAUCUGCUUCCAGCAGCCUAUGGGCACGGAUAAAUGCGUCCGCGCGCAACAGGGUGGGGGAACAAGUACGCUAGGAGCGUCUUGUCGCCGCUAAGUGGCAUCACACGCUCGGCCGUUCAUCAUCGACUAGGAGAAAGGUGUGCGAAGAGCUGCGGGGACGCAUCUGUCCACGCGUGACCAACACCGCGUGUGAACCAUCCAUACACACAGUGUCGGAGGCAUUCAUAACAAAUUUGCAUCCGUGCCUCACACCAGCGAAGCGAGUAAGGUUGCACACGCGCCAGCAAUGCUGAACCUCACCGGUCUCUGGGCCCUCAGUGCAUCAACGCACGCCUCUGCUGCGAUGCAGCACUGUCUUUGCAGCUGUGCAUUGCUGGGCAGCCCGGCCGCUUUCCCUCCGGGCUUACCCCCAGCUUGGCGGCCUUGCUCCCACCGGCUGCUGCAUUCGCUGGUUCGCAUUCGUUGAGACCGCAGUGCAGCGUAUCAGCCAUCUGCCUACGUAUAAACCUCAGCACUUUUGGCCGGUGCCGCCGCAACCGCCCAUGCCGCUGCCUGCUCCGCAGCUUCCAAGAUCCAACUGCCCCGCAUCGCGAAUGAGAUCCGCCGCCCAUCCCUCGAAGGAUCCCGCCGCCGCCGCCGCGGCGCCGCCGGCGCCUUGAAAACCACUGCCGCUGUCCUCGUGUCGCGCGAGCUGACUGCCCGACUCAAACGCCACGCUUACAAGCCCCGAAUCGAUCCCUGACUUGAGCCGCUUUAGCGGGCUCUCACAUACGGUGGCUCCAGCCUCUGCUGCCGCCGCUGUUGCCAUGCAAGCAAGCUGCUGAUGCUGUAGCGGCAGGUGCGGCUGACUGAUUCGCAUCAUCAACGGAGCCAUGCGCUUCAGCGGACUCAUCGGGCUGCUGACGGCACCGCUGCCGAAGGUGCCGCCGCCGGCAGUGGCCGCCAAAAGCGGCGCCGGCACCAGCGCUGCUGCCGUGUAUGCGAUGCCGCCGCCGCCGGCGGCUGUACCAGGGGCGCUGGUGACGGCGGCGGCGGCGGCGGUAUGGGAGCGGUGCACGGCAAGCCGCUGCAGCUGCGCACACCUCAGCGCGACCAGGUCAGUCACAAGGCCGCCGCCACGGCUGCCGCCGCUGCUACUGCUGCCCCUGCCAGCGCUGCUACUGCCGUCGCCAGCGAGCCUGCCGCUUCCGUCACUGAUGACGGCGCCAAGACCAGGCACGCUCGCCAAACCGCCUCCGCUGGUACCUGCGCCCAUGCCUGCGCCCAUGCCCCCAAGCAGCAGCUUGCUGCUCACACCGCCGCUGACGAGCCCGUCGGCCGCCGACGCUAGUGACGUCGUCUGCCCCACAAAAGUGGGCAAGCUGGCGCUCAGCGUUCUACCAGCGCCGGGCCGCAUCGGUACGGGGCUGGGCCCCUGCUGAUCAGAAGCAAUGGAGGCGGCGGCGGCGGCGGCCGUUGAGUCAAUGCCACUGCUGCCGGGGCGGCGAUGCUGGCACGGCAGGCCGCCGUGGGCGCUGUUUGGGGUGCUGUUGUUUGUUGCGGCGGCAUUGGUGGUCGAGGCGGUGGGCCACGGCUCCGAGUGCAGCAGCACUGUGCGGCGGGAAGAAAGGCGGUUGCGGGUAGGCCAUUGCUGGCGUGGGUCAAGUAGAGGUAGCUAGGCGCACAGCAGGCGUGCGGUGUGCACGUGCAUGCAAGACAGCGUCAAGUUCAAUCCCCACAUCUAGGCAACAUACCGGUGUCGAUGACUUAUUAAGAGCGAGCAUGGCGAUGCACAACUCUAUGUGCAACUGCAUACCAAUCAUCAAUAUGGUAAAAUAUGAUGCUUACUUUGCCAGAGCUCCUCCAGCACUCUGUCCUCGAGGCUCUGCGGCGCCACAGGCCCAUCCGUCACAGGCGCCAGAGACGUGCCGCCGCCGGCGCCACCCAGCAGCAGCGCACGCACACUCGCGCCGCCGCCGCCGAUGCCCUGAGCAGCAACGUGAGCGCUACUGCCGCCUCCGCCGCCACUACUGGCGGGACCAAAGCCGCUGCCGUUGCAGAUGCUGUUGCUGGCCAGGCAGCAGCCAAAUCCCUGGCGCGCGUUGACCCCACUGGCACUGGCAGUAGCAGUAGCAGCAGUAGCAGCAGUAGCAGUAGCAGCAGUAGCAGCAGUAGCAGCAGUAGCAGCAGUAGCAGUAGCAGCAGUAGCAGCAGUAGCAGUAGCAGCAGUAGCAGCAGUGGCAGGGCCAGCAGCGUUGCUGUGGAAGCUGUAGUCGCAGGUGCCGCUGUCGUCACGGCGGAGGACGCCGGCGGCGGGCAGCGGGUACGCGGCCGCUGGGCGGGGUGCUGCUGGGGUGUGCAGCAGCAGGCCUUGCACGCCGUCGCCCUGGCCGAGCUGCUGCUGAACCCCCUGCGGCGGCGGCGGUGCGGCGGCAGCGCCACCAAGUAGUGACGGUGUAAUGCCCACAGCUGCCACGUUGGCUCCAGCAAUAGCGGCGGCGGCGGCGGCGGUGGCGGUGGCUAAGAUAGGGGAGCCGCUGCGGCUCUCGGUGGGGGGCAGCAUCACCGCCGCCGCCGCCGCCGCCGAGGUGCUUCUGGCCAACAUGCCGCACACACUGAGCACCUCAAAUGGCUUGUCGGCGGCGCUUGUUGCCGCCGCCGCCAUCACCGCCGCCGGCGGCAGCCGCCCAUCGCCGCCGCCGGCCGCAGCCCAGAAGCCGCCACCACUGCCGCCAGCGGCGGGGCCAGCAGCGCUGGCGGCGUCACCGCAGAAGACGAAGUCCCCGUGCCAUCCGCAGCUGAUGUGCACAAGGGCGGCGGGCGCGGCGGCGGCGCCGCCAAGUGAUGGCGGCCCGCUGCCGACGGCCACGGCCGCCGCCGCAGUGCUGCUGAGGCGCCUGCUGCGUCCGAAGGAGGACUGUGAAGACUGUGAUCGCACGCAGCCGCCGCCGGCUUGGCUGGGGACGGCACUGCUGAUGCCGCUUGGCGAGGGGUGUGCGGCGGCGGCAACGCCCGAAUCCACCCGCCGCAUAGGCAGCAUGGCCGUUGCCGCAGCUGCCGGGAUCAGGCCAGGGAGCUGCAGCUGUUGCAGCUGCGGCGGCGACGGCAGCUGUGGCGGCGGUGGAACUUGCUGCUGCACUAUGUGAACCUCCACCCCUUGCUGCUGCUGCUGCUGCGCCCGCGCCCGCUCCUGCUCCAAUAGCAACUCCCGCACAAGCACCGGGUGGUGAGGGUGAGCAACGACCGGCGCCGCCGCCACUGCCGCGGCCACCGCGGCCACUCCCAGCGCUCCCACACCGCCACCGCCAAUGGCAACUGAACCGCCGGCGGCGCUGCCCGCCGCCGCUGGCGCCACUGGCGGGACCGGCGGCAGGGGCCCGCCGGCUAUGGAGCCGCCGAGACCCAUAGGCAUGAAUGCGGAGUGCAGCAGGUGGGUACGGGAGGCCGCCGCGGCCGCUGGCGGCUUCGCAAGAUGCGCCACAGUCGGGUCCGGAGCCGCACCAAGCGUGGAGGGUGGGGCAGCAGCAGGCAUCAGCGCUGCGCCGCCUACGAUGCCUGGCUGCUGCGGCUGCUGCGGUUGCGGCAGCUGCGGCUGUUGCAUCAGAAUGGCGAUGGGUGGCAGCGGUGUCCUGCCUUCCAACACGCUGCGUGGCGGCGUGCCUGGCGGCGGCGGCAUGCGCGCAACGUGCACUUGCGCCAGUGGGAGCAGGACCUGUGACGUUUGUUUCUUGUGGUCUGAGUGGUACUUGAGUGUGUGCACGCCCGACGCGGCAUCAAAGCCCACCACAGUCGCCGCUCGCCACGCGCCCGCGGGCGGAGGCUGCUCCGCCAGCUGCCCGCGCUGGCUGGGCGGUGGCGGCACCGUGGGGGCGGGGCCAUCGCUGUCAAUGUCCCACCUGCACCGGCAAGCAGGUUCAUGAGCACCAAGUAAGCAGCAGACAGCAAUACUGAAGGUGGAAGGUGCCUUGGCGGGAGGGAGUCGUGGCCCGGGACGACGCAGCGGCCUGGGUACAUUCUGUUGGUUUAGGAAAUCCAGGGGCGGGCAAAUGAGCAAGGCCGGCAUGUAUGGAUGCCUUGGAUGGUACCUACCAGAAGAUGCUGAGCUGCUUGCGAACCAGGGCCGCGCCCCCCAUGUGCUGGGCGGCGGCACACAGCCAGGCGGCCAGCGGGACCUGCAUGCGCCCACAAAGGUGCUUCAUACGUCUUGAUGUGCCUGCUUUGCAUUGUUUUGUAUGUUCGUGUUCUGCCUAGUGCCUGCCUAGAUGGAUGUGGAUCACCCCCUGAGCCCUGCGUUAUUCUGGCCAGGAGCCUGUGACCCUGCGUGAGUGAGGUCACUGGCACGGGUCACUGGCGACUGGCGUGGUCCAGAGUUGGUGCGUUACUUCCGGUGGACUCCAGAGCAGGUGUGCGCUCUGGCCUCUGGGCAGGAGGUGUGCGUGCGUGGUGGCACGAGCCUCCUCACCUCCUGUAACCGGGCCUCCAAACGACACCUGAGCGGCUGACCGCCUCCAACCCCGCGUAUUGCUAGUGGGUGUGUGAGUGUCCAAUGCCGGUACGAGAGCCCUGAGUGCGGGCGGGGCGCCCACGUGCGCCACGCACCCGUACCCCUCCGUAACCGGACGCAUCGACACACUUGUCGCGCCCCGGCUAGCUUUCCCUUUGCAGUACACACCUCUUUGCCCUCCUGGCGAAUCGCCAAUAAGGCGUCCUUUCCAAGCCCAUUAUGCGUGGACAUCCAGGUCGAAAGGCUGGAAAUGCGACCGCCCUCAGAAGAAAGCUGCAUCGGCAGCUCCCCGCAGCGCGAACAGCCGCACGCGACCAUGAUGCCGGCAGUUGAUGCGACAGCUCCACCUAGUAGGCGACAUCGGUGCUCGCCUGAAGGCGAAUUAAGGGUCGAAAGGGCGGUUGCGAUGGUCAGAAAUGUGACCGUGACUUGCCUGCACGUGCGCUGUGCCGGCAGGUCCGCAGGCUCUCAGGCCGACGGUUCUCCCACCUAAUACGAGUUCAACAUCAGCUGCCGGCAAGUGCGAGGCGCCCCUGAGCAAAGAGUCGACCGCAGCUUCGCUGCUGUUUGCCCCCAUUGUGCGCGCCCAGCCGGAAGAUAGAGCGGGCAAGUUGCCCGUCCAGAACUCGUGCAUAACACUAGAUCGAUAGAUUCUGUCAAUGCGUUGCUCGGACGAAGUGACUUAUGACACUACUGAAGCGACCAUUUACUCUCUAGACAAAACCACGCUUCUGUACUUAGUCAUUUGUUAGCGCCGAGUAAUGCGCGAGCUUUGUGGUGGGCAACGAGAGCAACUGCAUUCCCGGGGUUUCGUCCACUGGUCCCAUGCGCAUCCACCAAUUUGCAAAUGGUUGCAUUGGUGCGCUUGCAUUAAACUUGUGACGUCUGUAAUGUGGCUAGGCGUGACAGUCGGCCGGGCGCUUGCGUCUGUCCUAGAUGUAUCUGCGCCGAAAGCGGCGAUUGAAGCCGUAACAUGAUACAUCCACAAGGAACAAUCAAGUGGCUCAGCAGUUCAAGCCAGUGAGUAAUGUUUAUGUUUAUGAAACCCUGCUGCCGCACACCAGGGUUUUCCUUCGUGAGCACGUGCGUCUUCGUCCGCCGGGCGCUUUUCGCCUGGCCUGCCCGCGCUGCCGCACGGCCCGCGCUCUGCGCCACGGGAGCGCCUCCCUUGGCGCCGUCCCUCCUCUGCGCCUCGCGGAGUGCCUCAUCGCAAAGUCUAUGCGCCCAAAUAAAAGUGACUGGCUCAGCACUAGGCAUUAGAUACGACCGCUGCAAUUGACGAUCGGCCGCGUCAGGAAAAUUGGUAGUAUAUUAUGUGAUGGACCAUGUGAAGUGGACAGGAAAUGAAGAUUCCGAACCUUUCCGAAGCUGCACGCCCCGCCCGCCCGCUCUGCCGCCGGCACGCCCGCGCACCCUUGCGCGCACCCGGAGGGCAGCCCGCCGUUCGCUGCCAGACACUUCCCCUUCAUCAUAAGUCCGUGCCCCAGAAAAGAACGACUUGGCUGACGCGAUAGCUUGGGCUCUUUAUAUCGGGACCUCCCCCGUGUGGCUGUGUCAGACCGUCCCCGCCGCAAUCCUAGGCCCAGGUGUGUGUCGCAUCGCAAUCAUCUGCGAGGGGUACAGUCAACCUCCGUGUUGCCAGGCAAAGCGUUGCCGCGUAUAGGCGUAGCUUUUGCAUAUGAAGAAGCGUGAUGUAGACGUUUGCACUGCGCGUGGAAGCCUGGACAAAAGGGAGGGGGGUCGCCGCGAGUGAUCCGGCAUGCACAUGUGCGAAACCCCGCACAAUGUAGUUCGGGCGCCGGUGAUAGCAUUGUUACUGCUAUGCGCUCAUAUAGCUCUGAACGUUGAUAGCCGAAGCGUAUGCAAGAAACUAGCGCGCUCACUCAUUCCCAGUUUGCGUUUCUUGUGUUAGCCGCUGGGUGGCAAGCUCAGAAACAUGUUUAUACAUAAGCCAUAGCACGUGGCGAUGCCACUGAGCGCUACUCUCGCUUGGGCCGUCUUGCACUCAGAAAUGCGCCGAGCAGGAACCGUUCUGCUUCUAGUUAUGGUGGCCCAUAGUGCAUCAUUAUGGAUACAAGCAAGCGCGCAGACAAUCAGCAGCCUCAACGCGACACAGCAGGCGUGCAUAAAUGUUGCUGCCGAGGACGUGCUGGCCAGGUGCCUAAAUGACGCGAUAGUGGACAUUCCAUGGAACUGCUCUUGCUCGCCACGCUGGACUCCGGUCUCACAGCGCAUUCGUUUUUGCAUGUCUUUGCCUGCAGCUGCGCCUACAACACGUCUGGCAGCAGAGAGCAGGCAUUCGCCAAGGUUGUGUCACGCUCAUACGCGUUGUGCGUGGAGGGGAACGGGACCUCUGGUGCUAGCGGCACGGACCAGGUGAGGGGCGACAGAGGUUUGCGAGGUGCGCAUGUGCGGGUGUACACAGCUUGCAGGCUUGCAGGUGACAGCAGGCUGGGGAGUAGUGCUUGCGUCGUGCCGGUACUGUGCGUUCAGGAACAACGUGGAGCUUUAUCUGCCAGGGUCUGAGAGGGUCUGAGGGCACGGUCCGAGGGGGAGCGGGAUGAAGAGCAGCCGGGCGCGAGGCCGCCCGCUGCUCUCCCACACCUCAUCUUUCACUUGCGCCUUUCCAGGCUCAGCCUUCCUUUCCCCUCCCUCCCCCCCUCCCUCCCUCCCUGGCUGCUCCCUUUCUCGCCUUCCCCUGCCGCACCCCCGCAGCAGCUGCAGGUGAUGGUGCCUACGCGCCUCUUCCCAGCCUACAGCCGCCUGGCGAGGAGCUACUCGCUGGUGAGGGCGGGGGCGGGAUGGGGGGGGGGGGCUGUAAAUACCAGCCCAAACUAAACCAAACCAACUGAAACAAGCGGAACACAGGCAGAGGCGUAGGUUGCAAGUAAUAAUACUUAUGGGAUGCGGGCCGAGGCGUCGAGGAGCAGCAGGGCAAGCGGCGCCGGCGAUAAAGGGGGGGGGGGGUAAGUCUGCCCGAGCCCAACAGCGUGUGUACAUGUUGCGUGUGCGUGUGUUAACGGGAAACGGGACAAGUGCGCGGCCGCCCAUGCGUCGGGUUUGUGUGUGCUGGAAGAGCACAAGAGGAGAGGGGUGUACGUGGGUACAGGCGCGCGUGCUUGCAUGUGCGUGGGUGGAUGCGGAUGCGUGCAUGUGCACGUGCACGUGCAAGAGUUUGAUGCAAGAGUCUGCGAUGGUCAGGCGGGCGGUGGCAGGGAGGCGCUCAAAGGCACCGGUAACCGGUGGGCGCACCACGGCACCGGUACUACUGGGUACUGGGAGCGGCGUGGGAUGGGGCUGCAUGCAUGCAGUGAGAGGGGCUGCACAGUACCGCGGUUGCGCAGGAGCGUGACCACUGCAGUCGCAUGACAAGGGCCUGCGAGAGCUGUGCGGUGGGCGGGCGGACGGGCGGGCCGGGGGAGGUAUAGCCUGGCGAACCAAGCCCUGCACACGCAUGUACGAUACGGACUCACAGCCUCCUGUGUUUGGCAAUGCCGUCCGCCCGCCGCGCCCCGCCUGUGCUGACCCCCUGUGCGCCGACACGUUUAGCAUGUACUGUACUGAGUAUUAAGCCCCCGUAUUCAUGGACGGCGACCUCGACACACACAUGCACACACCGUUUGUGCUUAUCUUUCCUUGUUCGCUCUAACAAACAAAUACUCACACAUACGCAUACACAUACACACACCGCCCCGCCAGGCCUCCUCCCGCUCCGUGGCGGUGAUCCCGGUGGAUGAGGACCAGCUGUUGCAGGAGGCGCUUUUUGAGUUUUCAAACAAACUCAACACCAUGCACGACGCCUGGAUCCUGCAGGUGAGCGCGUGUGAGAUGUACUGGGGUGGGGUUGUAGAUUCCAGCCCAAACUAAACCGAACCCAAUGCAGUUGAGAGGGGGCUGGGGACGUUGGGUGUUGUGCUCUGUGAGUCUGUUGGGAUCGAGUGCUGCGGAGCUCGCUGAAGGUGUAGGUGGAGGGGGGACCGGCAGCGAGUCAUGUGGUGUGUAUGCACACACACGCGUGUGCGCCCCGGAGCCCCCUCACAUGUGUGAGGCGGCUACACAGCUCUCACCAUCCACCCCCUGUUCGGCCCCCCGCCGCCAUCCCCCUGCACCGUCCUCACAGCUGGACAGCUACUGGCAGCUCGAGGCCCUGGGCGGGGUCCUGGACCUCACCAACUUCACUGCCACCAUCACCACCACCGCCGCCGCCGUCGCAGCCUCCUCCGGAGCAUCCGGCAGCACCCAUAACAGCGCCGGCGGCAGUGCCGGCGCCGCCACGGUGUGGGGCGACUGGUCGGAGGUGCCUCCGGCCUUUCGGCGCCUGUCGUACUCGUACGACACAGCCAACAGCGCGCCCGGGGCGCCGGCGACACCUACACAGGUGCGUGGCCGGGCCCCAGGGAUCCAAAACGCGCUGCCGGCAUGUGCUGCUCCUCAUAGCCCUGUCUUGCGCCUGCGGCAUGCAACUUGCUCGCGCACGCUUCUUGCGCACGUGCCGAGUGUGUUGGUGUUGGCCCUCGUUCCUUGUGCUGUUUAACACACGCGCGCGCGCGCGCACGCACGCACACACACACACACACACACACACACACACACACACACACACACGGCACACACGCCCCGCACGUGUUCCCCCGCAGAUGUCGGUGCCGCUGGACGGCUCCGCGCCGAUGAUGCUGUACCGCACCGACCUCUUCGCGGCGGCGGGUCUGAGCCGCCCGCCCGCCACCUGGGCCGAGGUGCUCACGGCGGCGGCGGCACUCAACGGCACAGACAUGGACGGAGACGGCGAGGAGGACUUUGCGCUGUGCUUCCGACCCGACCCGGGUGAGGCGAGGGAUCGGAAGGGGCCCAUUCCCCCGCUUGCGCUGCGCCGUUUCAUUGCAGUGCUCAUCCUGCCAGAACCCCCAACGGCCAACCCAACGCAGUUAUCCAUUCCGUGCCCCCAGCCCAAACCUGCUGUGUUUCUCGCUGCCCCUUGAUCCCACUGCUCUUGAUUACGCAACCCAUCCCAAGCCAACCUCCCUCUCCCCCCUCUCCACACUUCGUCUGAAGUCUUCAGUGCAUCUUGUAUCGCUUUCCCAACCCCCUUCACUUCAUAUUUGAUACACACCAUCCCAUGGAUGGCUACCCCCCUCUUACCCCCUUUAGUUUGGGCUGGUACUUACACCCCCCCCAUCUCCCCUCUUCCCCCCUCAGACUGCUCGUACACCAGCGCCCUGGGCAUGGUACUGCUGCCGUACCUGCAGUACAACGGCACCGCCACCGGCGGCCUGCUGGCGCCCGAGGACCUGCAGCCGCUGCUGGACACGCCGGGGGCGGCGGCGGCACUGGCCGUGUUCAAGUCCCUGCUGGCCUUCCACAUCCCGCUGGAUCUUCAGGUGGGCGGUCGCGUGCGCCAGCCUGUUUCUGCCUGCCUGGUCAUAGGGCACACCCCUCGCACACCCCUCGCACACCCCUAGCACACCCCUGGGCACACCCCUAGCACACCCCGGGUACACCCCUAGCACACCCCUAGCACACCCCUGGCACACCCCUAGCAACCCCCUAGCACACCCCUAGCACACCCCUAGCAACCCCCUGGGCACACUUCCUGAACUAGUCAUGAUUGUAACCCUAACACGCCCCCCUCACGCGUGCAGGGCAUCGAGUGCGCUGCCGGUGACGUGGCGCUGGCCUUCGCGGAGGGCGAGUGUGCCAUGGCGUUUGGGUGGGGGGAGCUGUUCAAGGUGCGUAGGGGCGGGGGACAAGGGGUGUGUGUCAUGUGUGUGUCUGUGUGUGUGCGUAUGCGGGCCCGGGACUGGCGAUUGGCUCACACCUUACCUGUGUCACCUCACAGCACCGGUCCCGCAUAAUGACUUGUGCCUCUGGACAUCGCCAGUUCCAUGUUUUAAUACAAACCGUUCGCAUCAAUGGCGACCCCUGUGAUAAACGACGUCACGAACGGCACGUGUACCUCCCUGUGCUACCCUGCCUCCCAUCCGUGUACAAAACAGCUGAGUGAGAUCAGCAGCUCGGCCCCGGCCUUCGGCGGUCCGGCUGACAACAGCUCCGCCGCCUCCGCCCUAGGGCAGCGCACCGCCAAGGGCCGCUACGCCAUGACGCCGCUGCCCGGCUCCACACAGGUCCGCCGGCGGGCGGCUUUAGCCGCUUGGACUUGUUUCGCUGCCAUGCCGUCACAGUCAAGUUUAGCUUGUUGAAUGUAUGUAGUUACAUGAUAUUUACAUGAUAUUUACUUGACUGUGACGGAAUACGCUGGUCAGAUCUGUCGUCUGUGCGCGGUUCCCGCUUGCCCGCUGAUCCUUGGGUUUGGCUGUGCGGUGUGCGGCGUGCGGUGUGCGGCGCGGGGGUUUGCAGGUGUACGACAGGCAGCGGCGGGAGCUGGUGGAGUGUGGCAGUGCGGCGCAGUGCCCCUACGGAGCGGGCGGACUGCCGGAGACCGUCACGACUGCGGUGAGCGGUGUGUGUGUGUGUGUGUGUGUGUGUGUGUGUGUGUGUGUGUGUGUGUGUGUGUGUGUGUGUGUGUGUGUGUGUGUGUAGGGGGGGGUUUAAGCCGUUCGUGGAGAUUGGGGCGCUGAGUCUGGGCCUGGGGCCGAAGCCGGUGCGGCCUCUGGCUACGCGGGAGGAGAAGGUUUUGGAGGCGCGAACAGAGCAACAGCAGCAUGCCAGAAACAUAAACAGUCCCAAACACAACGGGGCAGCCGCGCGCAGCGGGAUGGGUUCAUCGGCGGUUCAAACCCACCUGCCCCUGGAAUCAUAAACCAUGGAAAUGUCGCAGCCGCUCGCACCAUCCGCGUCGCACCAACAACAAGCCCCAUAACCCAUCCCCCCGUCUACCACUUCCUUAACUUGUUAUGAAUGUACCCCCCCCCCAUGACCCGCCCCCACCCCCGACAGGACGGCCGCACGCUGUACGUCAACCGCGCGCCCUACCUGCCGUACACCGGGGUGGUUGGGCUGGUGGCGGCGGCUGUGGAUCCGGAGCGGCAGCGCCGGGCGUUUGACUUCCUCACCUACCUGUCGGCGGCCAACCUGAACCUGUCCCUGGCCAGCGACAGUGAGUGUGACCGCGUGCUGUAGCAAUGGGGGAUUGCAAGGUUUAAGCGCUGGGAACAGGAUACAAGGGGAUGGGGGCUUGUGAUUACCAGUGCACAUUAAACCGAACCCAAUGCGAAGGAGCGAGGAGGAGGCGGGCGCGGGGCAGGUGUCCCCGCAAGACUGAGUGGUUGGGAGGGGGACUAGCAAGGGGAGGGGACGAGCAGUGGAGUGGUGUUGGGGUUGGUGCGGUGGGCUGGCGGAAUGGGUGCCAGGUGGCAGCGCGGCAGCCAAUGGUGCGAGAGCCCCCCCCAUCAACGCGGUCUGCAGGCGCUGGCUACUGGUGUGCAGCGGCGUUUCCCUUUGCGGCAGGCGGGCGGACGCAGCGCGCAAUGUCCCGUUCCCCACACCUCCUUCCCGCCCAAUGUGCUCCUCCUCACCUCCCCACUCCUGUCCUGCCCCCUUCCUUAACUAAUCAUGAAUGUAAUCCCCCUUGCCCCCCCUCCUCCCUUGCCGGCCCAGAUCCCAUCGUGCCCUUCCGCACCAACGCCCUCACAACCGCCCGCAUCCCCGACUUUGUCGCCGCCGGCUUUGACGAGGCCGCCGUCCGCUCCUACAUGUCGGUCGUGAACGCCACCGUGAACCAUCCCAACCUGGCCCCCGGCCCCAUCAUCCCGCGCGGCGACAUGCUGAGGGCCCUGAUGGGCGUGGCGGCCGCGAACCUGUCGGCGGGCAUGGAGGCGGCGGAGGUGGCGGCGGGGCUGCAGGCGCAGGUGCGGGGGGUGCGGGGGGCGCGGGGUCGGCUGGGAGGCGGUUGGGAGGCGGCUGGGAGGCGGGGGGAGGGCAAGGGGCAACACGCACGGGCAGCCGUGUGAGCCGUAGAUCAAGAUGUGUGCAUUCACAGAGACACACAAGUACACACGCGCGUGUGGACACUAAUCCCCCCUCGAGGUUAGAGUAGCGGGGGUUGCGCGAUUUCCGGUUGGUAAGACCGGCGGCUCACCGCAGCAGGUAUACGAGGUAACUUCAGGUAACAUCCGUAAACCGUCGCUUUGCUGCAUCGCAUACACUGUCUUUGCGCAACGUUUUCCUUGUGCUCUUUAACACAAGUACACACGCGCGUACGUACACACACGCGUACACACCCACGCACACAACCACACACACACACACACGUACAACCACGUGCACAGGUGGUGGACCAGGUGUUGGACUACCAGCCCGCCUGGACCUGGCGCCUGGGGCUCAAGACCGCCUACUGGGCGUUCACCGGGUACACCCCCCCGCCGGCGGUGAGGGCGUGGGGGAUUGCGUCGAUAGUGGCUGAGGGACAGGCUGGCUGGCUGCCUGGCAGGCUGGCAGAGCGCCUGCGUGCCCAGGGGAGGACCCUCCCCUGUGCGUGCCUGUCAGGGUUUUGUUGCGGGCUAAGGGUUUACCCAUGCAACGCUGUCAGGAAUGGUGGUAGCCUGCCCUCCCGAACCGACCGUUCGCGAUGGGUUCUGUGACUCACGCCAAACACACACACACACACACACACACACACACACACACACGCACACACGCACACACGCACACACACACACACGCACACACACACACACACACACACACGCACACACACACGCGCGCCGCUGCAGCUCUGACGCCCCCCCCCGCCUUCGUUCCUUCCUUCCUUCCUCCCCUCGCAGAACGGCACCGCCGACGGCGCCGCCGACAGCACCCAGAUGCCGGCCGUGUCGCUGGCGGUGCCGGUGGCCUCGGCGGUGGUGGUGCUGCUGCUGUCCACCCUGUACGAGUUCAAGAAGCACCGGCAGCACCGCAGCCUGUUCGGCAAGGUGGUGGCGCCGGGGCCGUUCGAGGACACCACACUGCUGGUCACGGACAUACAGGUGGGGGCGCGCGUGUGUGUAUGGGGGGGGGGCGUGUGUGGGGGGAGGGGGGCGCGUGUCAGCGCGUUGGAGGUAGGGGUGUGUGUGUGUGUUCAGCUAGCAGAAAGGAGGAAAGACGCAGGAUCGUGUAUGCAAUACGGUACGAUGCUCGCGGUAUUGCGGUAGGUAGGUAGGUGUGUGUGGGGGGGGCGUGUGUGAGUGUAUGUGUGUGUGUGUGUGUGUGUGUGUGUGACUGGGUGCGCUAAGGGCGACGUAUCGCAAGCGCGCCGGCCGACACGUGUGUCCGGCACGCGUUCAUGGGGGAGGGCUGGGCGUCCACCCACGACUGCACCCUUCCGAGUGUGCUCCAGUGCUCCUCCGCCUCGCACUCUCUCCCUCCCCCGGUAUUAAUUGCUGUUCCCCCAAGAUUGCCUACCAUCUACCAUUUUCCUUGUCUAAUCUGAACGGCUAUCCCCCACCCCAUCAUGAAGUAACCCCGCUGCUCCGCCCGCCCGCAGGAUUCCACUGCCUUGUGGGAGAUGCUCCCCUCCACAGUCAUGGACCGAGCCAUAAAGGAACACCACGCGGUGGGGAGAGGGGAGGGGCGGGGGCAGGGGGAGGAAAGAAAGGGGGGAGGAAAGGGGCAGGGGGUUAAUGUGCCCGAGCCCGUUAGGUCCCAAGAGUCGCGGGAGGAGGAAGGAGGAGCAGGGAGUGGAAGAGCGGCUCCAAAUGUGGUGUGGGCUGCUGGUGGUGUUUGGGCAAGCGGGUCGGGCCGGCCAUGCUUGCGGUGCUUGAGGGCGCUCGGGACACAAGUUGCUGCCAACUAAGCCAGCGCCUCCCUCGCCUGCUGCUGCUGCUGUUGCUGCUGCUGUUGUGCAUGCACCUCGCCUGCUGCAGUGCCUGCGCAAGCUGCUGCUCAAACACAGCGGCUAUGAGAGCGCCACCGAGGUGCGUGCGCGCCCCCACGGGUCUGGCCAGGCGCACUGUGUGCGCGCGACCCCACGGGUCUGGCGCCUCAGGCCAGCUGCCAGGCGCACUGUGUGCGCGCGCAGGACGGGUCUGGGGAGUGGGGAGCUGUGGGGGGGGACCCAUGUACGGGCACGCACACGAUGCGCACCAGCUGAAUGACACACGCGCACACACACACACACACACACACACACACACACACACACACACACACACACACACACACACUCCUACAACCGCCGCCACCCCGCUCCCGCUCCACCCCCACCUCACCCCCCACCCCCCAGGGCGACUCGUUCCUGCUGGCCUUCCACAGCCCCGAGGACGCAUUGCUGUUCGCCAUGGAGGCGCAGGUGGCGCUGCUGGAGUGCGGCUGGCCCAUGGAGCUGCUGGACUGCGACGUGUGCAGGCCAGCCUACGUGGCGCACAAGUGAGUGCGGGGGAGCGGUGGCGGGUUGGUGGGGUGGUGGUGGGCUGGGUGGUGGGCUGGGUGGUGGGGCGGGGGAUGGAUGGUGUGGUGGGGAUGGAUGGGGGAAUGGGGGGAUGGGGCGGGGGCGAGGGAACGGCGGCGGGGGCGCGUUUGGGGCAGCAUCUGGCGGCGCGUAUGGUGCAGUUGUCGUGGGGUACAGUGGAGGGUGGAAAGGCGGGCUGGUGCAGACAGUGCUGUGCUGCGCCUUGUGCUGCACCGCCACCGCGGCGCAUGCGGCAGCCCCGCAUCCGCCAGCCGCUGCACGUGCCUGUCUUCCCCGUUCGCUCUCUCGCGUUCCCCUCCCACCCUCCCGCGCACGCACCCCCAGCGCGCCCCUACACGCCCCCACGCACCUCCACGCACUCACACACCCACACUCACACGCGCUUCCCCGUUCUCUACAUGAGCGACUACCCUCUACAACACACAUACACACGCACCCUCCCCUCUGUGCUGUGUUUUCCUUGCACUAUUUAACACACAUCCUCUCACACACGCGCUCACCCCCACAGCGACAGCGACAAACGGGCCAACCUGCUGGCCGACGCCGGCGACCCGGGUGGCGGCGGCGGCGGUCUGAUGGCCCUGCCGCGCGCCAGCAGCGGCCUCAGCAACAAGAGCACCUCGGAGGAGGCCAGCAGCCCGCAGGUGGGGGGUUUGGGGGGGUUGGGGGGGAGGCUGGGCGCGCGUUUGUGUGUGUGUGGGGGGGUUGCAUUCAUGAUUAUUUAAGAAGUGAAGGGGGGUUGUAGAUACCAGCCCAUACUAAACCAAACCCAAUGCAAUAGAGCGAGGAGGAGAGCGUGGUCGAUGCUUGACAACGGAGUGGCACGCGACAAUGGUCCCCAUUCCCGAAAUGCACCGAGUUCCCAGGUUCCCAGCAAUACAUCCGGGGGGGGGGUUCCAUGCAUGAUGAAGCAAAAAGCAGCGGAGUUGCAGCCAGGCAUGUUGAGGGGGAUUGUUGCAAGUGGGUGGGGAGGGUUGUGGUCUAGGGAACGGCUACCGCCCACCUGGAAUUGCAACACACACACACGCACCGCUGCCGCCUGCCACAGGCCUCCCACGGUCUGAGUAGCGGCGCGGUGGUGGCUCCCGGCGAGUCCAACACCUUCCUCACCGCCUGCCAGGCCAGCUGGAAGGAGGCCACAGCCGCCACACCCAACAACGUACUCAUAUUCCGGUGAGCCACGCCCCCCGCCCCCCCCCCAUCGGUAACAACGCGUCUGCUAUACUACUGUACCUGGCUACGCCUUCACUUCUUAGAUAAUCAUGAAUGUAACCAACCCCCCCCCCCAAACACACACACACACACAUUUACACUCACACUUACACUCUUCCCUUACACGCCACCGCCCCCCUCUCACAGCGGCCUGCGGGUGCGCAUGGGCAUGCACACCGGCAUCAGCAAUGAGGCCGACGUGGCCUACAACAAGGCGGCGGCGCGCAUGCAGUACAGCGGCGAGAUCCUCAACUACGGCAAGAGCGUCAGUGACGCGGCGGCGGGCGGCAUGAUCCUGUUGAGCGAGGCCACGUACAGGUGAGGGGGCGUGUGUAUGGGGGGGGGAGGGGUGGGGGGGGUGGGUUGGGGGUUUGGGGGGUGGGGGUUGGGGGGGUGGGUUGGGGGUUGGGGGGGUGGGGGGAAGGGGGUUGGGGGGAAGCGUGUGCGUAUGUGUGGAGGAGAGGGGUUUGGGAGUGUUCGUGGGAGGGGGUUGCAAGGAUUGGUACAGAGAAGUGUAGCGAAGUAGACAGCAGGUGUGCUGUUGCGCGUACCGAUGACCGACGGCGUCCACAGGGGGGUGAGUGGGGUUAGGAAAGGCACCUACAAUGUAUACACACACAAUGCACGUCUCCAUGCCUUGUGCUCUCUAUCACGUGAUCUUUGUCCGCACGUCCCCCCCUCCCACCCCACCCGCUCCCCCUCAGGCGCCUGCCUAUGGAGCGGCUGUGGGACAAGGCGCUGGUGAUGCACGUGGGCGAGUACCGCCUCAAGGACGACCUGCUCGUGCUGCCGCUCUACCAGGUGGGUGGGUGGGUGGGGGGGGGGGGCAGAGGCGUUGCUUUCAUGUUCAUGUUCAUUCAAGUCGUAGACCGUAGGCAAUCUUGUGUGUGGGUGGGUGGGGGGUUCGGUGGGUGGGUGGGUGGAUGGGUGGGGUGGGUGGGGUGGGUGGGUGGGGGGUUGCCACUCAUGCGGUUGCAGUAAACAUGGAAGUGCCCCACGUGCAGAGGCACCGCGGGAACACGCGCCAUACCCGGGCGGGGGGGGGGGUAAGGAGGAUUGAGGGGAGGGGGUGAGGGGGCGACGCAGCUGCUAGCAUCUGAGGCCCCGUGUCGAACCAAGCGCCAACCGGCCCUUCCUUGCUACCUGUCCACUUCCACCUCCACCUCCCCUCACACGCACCCCCCCCCUGCAUCCUGCACCGCUUGAUUAAACAUCCUUGCAACCCCCAUACACACACACGCCCCGCACGCCCCCCACGCCCCCACGCCGUGCCCGCUCCCCCCCCUCGCAGGUCACGGGUCGUCGGCUGAUGGGGCGCCUGGGCCACCUGUCCGGCAUGCGCUUCAAGGAGCAGCUCAGCCGCGGCGUGUUCACGGCGCCGCUGGGGGCGGUGAGAGCUCGCUCCGAGGAAUAGGGGGUCACCGGUGCAUUCAUGUUUAGCUAAGAAGUGAAGAAGGCGUCGCCAGGAACAGCGGGGUGGGGUGGGGCGAGGAGGGACCGCUUCGUUUCGUGACCCCUGCAAACCCCCGUUCCCCGCUGCUCACUCACCUCCUCCCUCGUCCCCGGGACGUCGGCACUUCAUAUGUGUGAUUCAAUCACUGCGUUAUCCACAUGAACGGCUACUAUUCCCCUCAGAAACACCUUUGCACCCCCCCCCACCCCUCUGCAGUCUUCAGUGCAUCCUGUACCGCUUUUCCAAACAUCCUUGCAACCCCCCCCCCCCAAAACAGGUGGCCAUGGUGUAUGUGGGCGUGGCGGGUGUGCCGGCGCUGCUGGCCUGGGACGAGCCGAUCACACGUGAGGCGCUGGCGCUGCUGCACGCCUGCCUGGCGGAGCACGUGCGCACAUGGGGCGGAUACCUGGUGGAGGCGGCGGACGAGCAGGUGGGGGCGGGCGUGUGUGGGCGGGGGGGGGGGCGUGGGGGGGGGAGAGUGUGGGGUGGGGAUGGGGAGCGUUUGUGGGCUGUGGGCGUGUGUGUGAGCCGUGUAUGGGGGCGUGGAGAAGGUGCGGGCGGGUUUGUUUCUACCAUUCCCAGUAAAAAACCAUAGCAACGAAGACGCAUGACUGGACACGUUUGUUCAAAGCUGUGGGGGGGGCGGCGAUUCAUCCAAGGCAUGUGGUCCUGUUGUGCGCGUGUUGUCCGUGUUGCCUGGGCGGGCAGGUCGGGCUGCGCUACAGGUGCAAGCAGUCCCCAGCAGUCGCAGUACACAGGCCACCCAAAGGACUCGCCACCACUCCUGCAAACCCCCAACCCUCCACCCCCACCCCCGUCCAUCCCUCCCGGGACCUCAUACGCUUUUGGGCCAAUCAUUCCGUUCGCCAUGGACGACUAACCCCCCUAACGGCUAGCUUAGCUUGGUUCGCUUCAGUUUGGGCUGGUAUUUUCAAUCCCCCCCCCUCCUCCUCCCCCUCCCCCCUCUGUACCAUUGCUCCUGGCUACGCCCUCUCGUCUUAUUUAACAUGCAUGGAAUCCCCCUCCCCCUCCUCCUCCUUGCAGGUGCACGUGGUGUUCCCGGCCGCCAGCGAUGCGGUGAUGUUCUGUCUGGCGGCGCACCAGGCCGCCAUGGAGCUGCCCUGGCCGGAGCCGCUGCUGGACCACGAGCUGGCGGAGGAGCUCAUCGUGGGAGAUGCCGUGGUGUUCAGGUGUGUGCAUGUGUGGGUGGGUGGGGGGUAAGCUGUACGGAGUGAUUACAUCACGAAACCCAAGGAGCCGGACACGAGAACGCGAGACAGACAAGUUUUGUGUGGUGGUGGGGGGGCAGCCGGUGGAGCGGGAAUGAAUGUGCGAGGGGCGGGAUGGUGGCAGUCAGCGGCAGGUCCGGACGGCACCCGGGGUCUGUAGCUGGUGGGUGGGGUUGGGUGGUAGCUGCCCUCCCCCCCAUUGUUGCCUCCCCCCCCCCGCGCCUGAAACCCCAACCACACCCCAAGAUUGCCUACCAUCUACCACUUUCUGAACUGGUCAUGAAUGCAACCCCACCCCUGCCCCCCACCCUGCAACGCCGCCGCCGCCACCCCCCAGGGGCCUGCGGCUCAAGAGCGGUGUGGACACGGGACACGCGGUGGGCGAGGUGAACGCGCUCACGGGCCGCAUCUGCUACCGCGGCAAGGUGGUGGCGCGGGCGGCGCGCGUCAUGCAGAACGCCAGCAGCAACCAGGUGGGGUCGGGGUGGUGGCGGGCGGGGAGGGGGUUACAUUCAUGACUUAGGUAAGGACGUGGGGGCGGCGGUGGUGCUGCUGCUGCUGCUGCUGCUGCUGCGGCUGCUGUCGGUCGGAGGGUUUGGAGCAGUGCUCUGCCCUGCCGCUGCCCUAGGAGUAGCAGUUUAGUCCCGAUGCGGACGUAGGGCUCCCGCAUCCCCCGUUGGGCUUGGGCGUCUUACAACCCAACUCCCUCCUAUGACUUAGUGGGACCUAGGCUCUAGGCUUGGGCAUUUAACUUCUCCCCCUCCUCCUGAUCCUUCUCCUCCUCCUCCUGGUGCUGCCCCCACGCCGCAGGUGCUGACCAGCGGUGAGGCCUGGGCGGCGGCGCUGGCGGGCAAUGCCGCGGUGCUUCAGCUGCGGGGCGUGGUGGGCGACCGCCUGGGGCCCUUCAAGCUGAGGGGCGUGGCGGAGCGCGUGGAGGUGGUGCAGGUGGGCGGGGAGGGAUUGGGUGGGAUUGGGAUGGGAGCAACAUGGGGCGGGACUGGGAAGGGGAAGUAAGGGGGAAUGUGCCCCGAAGGAGAGAGGGAGGGACUAAGCUCCAUAGCAAUGUGUGGCUACGUGAGGCGGGGCCGUGUGUGCCUCCAGCUGUCACCAUUCGGACCCUCUCCACCAACAUCGCCGCCUUCUACAUACCGGUAGCCAUGCCUGGAACCCCCCGCCAAACAACAACUGCAAGCUUUCGAACACCUCUGACCUUCUCCCCCGCCGCUCAUAACAUUAUCAAAUUCUUGAGACGCCUUGGCCCUUGACACGCCUCUCCACACAUAUGCAACCCGGCGCGCGCAGGUUCGGCUGCGGCGACUGGAUCUGCCGGGGGCAGAGGGCUGGGCGCAGGACCUUCAACAGGCGGGGGACGGCGGCGCCGGCGCAGAAGGCGGCGCCGGCGACACCGCCAGUGGCGACGGCCCGCAGAGCACACGCCCCGGCAGCCUGGCGGCGGUGGACCUGGCGGCGGCUGCUGGCGGCGGCUCCGAACGGCCGAUGUCGGGCAGCAGGUUUGGGUUCUUGGGCCGUCGGUCCAGCCAUGCAGCCAUGAUGCCCCCCGUGAACGGCACGGACCACAGCGGACGCGGCGGCGCCGCGAUGGCGCCGCCGCUGUUGCCGGCGUCGCGGCUCGGCGCCGACGGCCCGGGCAGCCCUCGCCUGUUUGGCGGGCUGCUGCGCUCAGCACGCGCGCAGAGCUUCAGCGCGGCGACGUCGGGGCUCAUAGCGCGCAUGACGGGCCGCGGCCGCGCCGGCAACGGCAACGGCAGCGGCAACGGCAGCGGCGCCCCCUCGCGCAUGCACACCUCGAACCAGGGCGCAGAGGGCAGCGGCGACAGCGGCUCCGCCGCCGCCAGCGGCGGCGGCGUCACCAUUGCGAGUGGCAGCGUGGCGGCGCUGCAAGGCGCGCCCGACGGCGGCGCCGUGCCUGCCGCCGCGAAUGCGCACGGCGGCGGCGCCAGCGGCGGCGUUCCUUCUGGAGGCGUGCUGCGCAGCCUGAGACUCGUCAGCGGUGGCAUGGGGACCGGCGCAGCCGGCGCAGGCGCGGGCGUGAUGGGCGGCACGCCUCGUGGCACGUCGGCGGGCGUGGCGUUCCCGUUCACCUCCGCGCGGCGGCUGCUGCCGUCAUGGGGCAGCACCGGCCAGGGCCAUAGCAGUCAAGACGUGGCGGCGGUGGUGGCGACCUCCAUUCCCGCCAACCGCGGCGGCGCCAGCAACUCCUCCAACAGCCAUCCCUACAUUACCGAUGCUGAUGUUGGCGCCGCCGCCGCCGCCACUGCUGAUGCCGCUGCGGCGGUGCCAUUGCCACCCCCAGUGUCAAUGCCAGCGGCGGCGCUGGCCCUGCCGUCGCAGGCGGCUGAUACUCUGCCUGGCGGCGGCGCCGCCACCGCCGGCUCUGCCGCCGCCGCGGCGGCGGCGACAGCAUCCUUGGUUGCUGGCGGUGCCAACCCCAUAUCUCCCAAGGCCGUCGACGCGGCGGCCCUUACGACGGCGGUGCCGGUGAGCGGGCCCGGUGCCGUCAGCGGUGGCGCGCCGUCAAGCGACGGGCCGGGCUGGUUCCCAGGGGAGAUGCUGGCAGACGUGUUGCAUGGGGUGCAGGAGGAGGACGAGGCGGCGGCGGCGGUGGCGGUCGCAAGAGCGGUGUCGGGUGUGGGCAUGGUCGGCGCGCUGGCGGCGGCGGCCGGGGGCCGGCAGCUGGCGGGCGGUCCGGCGGCACGCGAUGGCUCCGCGACCGUAUCGUAGUGCCUAAGGACAACGCAGCGUGUGUGGUGGCCACGAGCAGCACGGGCUGAGUUCGCGUGAAUGGGUGUAAAUGUCAGGUGUAUCCGUGUAUGGGCUCUGUUUGUAGUGCCGUAACUCAGGUACGACUUGUAGACUCAGUGCUGUUUGCAGGGCGCGGAGAAACGAGAGGGGCGUGUGCAUCCCUUGCGUGUAUGUAUCAAGGUGGUGUUUCUAGGGGGGGGGGCACGUCGCAACUUCAUCGGAAGGGCAUAGAAUAGAACAUUCGCACAGCCCCCCCAUUGACGUUCCAGGCACGCGGGUCGGUUCUCAAUGGGAUGUCCCGGUGCAAAAAUCAGGAGGACUGUCUUUAAAGUACAACAUAACAUCAGUUCUUGCUUUUCGACACUGGGUGCCGGCGGUGGCGCUGCUUGUGGCGGCCGGCCGGCCUCAACCGCGAAAGUGCCUCCACGGAUGGGGGCACAGACCCGGCGGCCGGGGAUCUCGCUGGACUACGCGACUGGCCGCUCUGCUGCGGGCUGCGAGCGUUAUAACAAUGCAGCCAUCAUCGCGCAUGAAGAGUGAGAAGCGUUUAGCUAAUCAGUGGGGCGCUGUGAUUCGCGCGGGCCGGCCUCUAACUGCCUAUAACGCCUCCGAUUCCGUCGUCUUGUGACUAUUUAUUGUGCCGGCCGCACACGCCCCUUCAAGCGGUAGAAGCUGCCGCAGCGUGAGGCGCGUGAGGGUUCCCAAGUUUAAAAGGGUGGCCCCUAUCGGGAUCGAACCGAUGACCUUGGCGUUAUUAGCACCACGCUCUAACCAACUGAGCUAAGGGGCCAGGUACUGAAUAGAUCUGAUCAUACCCAAAAUUCCGUCAUUUCCGCGCUUCCGGCGCGCCAUUCGGCAGCCCCGUCCUACGCAUUACGGACAUGGUACGCGUGCCGCCACAGCCUCCGCGCCUCCUGCCCAACAGGUGUGGCUGCAGUGGGGCCGAAAUGGCCGAUGCGUGCCGCUGACGCAAUUGUAAGUAAGGAAAUGAAGUGAGUCAGAGCCUGGCCCCUUAGCUCAGUUGGUUAGAGCGUGGUGCUAAUAACGCCAAGGUCAUCGGUUCGAUCCCGAUAGGGGCCACCCUUUUGCGGCACAAGCACCUCUCGCGUCCGAGCGCCCGCGAAGGCCGUGCUCGGUCUGUAAGCUUUCUCAUGAGGGAUUUGCAAACUUCUGGUUGUAGGUUCGAGCCUCACGGCGGGCGCCACGAGGAUGCGAUAUAAUUUAAGCGACAGCGCCACAAGCCCCGAAUGAGAAUGUUUUCUUAAAUCUCGGCGCGCAUGUUCGGAGCAGAGGGGGCGGGCAAGGCCACGUGGAGGAGGACAGCGCGGCGCCGCCUUCAAAGCGGCGCCGGCGCGCAGGUUGAGACCUGCCGGUGUUGUCUGGUUAGCGACCUGUGCUGACGAGGAUGGCGUAGCGGGCAGUCAGCUGCAGCGGCAAGGGUGUUGAGAGGUUUUCCUUGCUGUCUGGUCGGCCUGCUGCCUGCUGCACUAGUGCUUGAUAGCUGGGCGCGACUGGGCACAUAUGGCGGGCGGUGCCUGUACAAACCGACCCCGGCUAUGUCCGGGAGAUGAGGCUAGUAUCGGAACCUUCGGCCUCAGACGGAGGACGUGGCGUGGGCUCAGCCCACUUUUCCCUUGCGAGGGAGAGCCACCUUUUCUUGUCUUCCUACGGCCCUUCCUACCGUCGGCCCCCAACCUGCGCAUUACAGACACGGCGCGUGUGCCGCGGGAGCUGCAGUCCGAGCCCGUGUGCCGGCGGCGUGGCGGGUGGCGGCGCCGGCCACACUGCAUGCACCUGGCGGCGCGGCCUCUGCACCUCCUGCCCCCAGGUAUGGCUGCUAUUUGCGCAGAGCCUGGGCGGCAGGGCGCUGAAGUGCCGCUGAAGUGCCGCUGAAGUGCCGUUGCUGAACCUCACGGUGAAGCAGGCAGCCCAGCCUCAACUUGCACCUGCAUAUGACGCGCUACACGUGCAUCACUUGGCUUUCAUCCAAGAGGCCUACAGCGGUGCCGUGCCGCCAGUGGAAGCGAUUCAUGCUCUGCGUGGGGCCCUGGCACGGCUGUGGGCUCUGGUGUGGGAGCCGUGACACAAGGAACCACUCUGGCGCCUGGCAGCCAAUGGAGUAAUGGCAGAGGUGAGUAAUGGGCUUUGGGAUGCUUGCGGCUUUGGCCGGGGAUGGGCGUGUGAUGAAAUGCCUGUGAGGAACUCAGAUGACUGCUGGGGCUAGGGUUCACCACUUCUGGGACUGUGUAGUGGCGGAGGCUCUGCGUGAUGUGUUGCGGGAGCAUGCAAUUGUGGACAUCGCACAGUUGUGGUUGGUUCAGGCAGUGGUUGGCGAGGUCAAUCAGGGGGAUGGGCAGCAUCGUGGCGGACUGUGAGGAGGUGCCCGUGCCGGUGCCGGUGCUGCUGGCGGUGUUAUUGACGUGCUUGAAGAAACGCAACACGCACUGACGUUGUAGAGCCGAGGUCAGUAAGCUAGCACAUGCAAAAAGAAAAGCGUGAGCAUGAGCAGCGACCGCAACUGCUACGUUACCUUUGACGAGAUAGCCGCGCGCCAAGCUGCGCCACUCCGGCGUCCUAAAGCAUGUGACUCUCAGCUGGUGUAAACGGCUGUCAGAGGCUGGGCUGGCGUAGACUGGCCGCAGACUACCAAGCGAAGGCUGCGAUGCAUUGUGAUAGCGCGAACCCCAAGAGACCCACCUGGAACGCAGCCAGGUAUCCGCUGUGAGCCAGGAGUAGUACGUACAUGCGAGGACAAGAGGAACGAGAACGGCAGAAAGGAGGGUGCGGCAUGGCGGUUGUCAAAACGUUGAGGCUGGCGCAGAAAACAAACCAGGGUGGCUGCCUAGCUGCGGCCGGGCUGAUGCGAAGGCUGACUGGCUGCUGUGAAUGGUGAGCCGAGACUGGUAUGAAAGGCUGGUGCCGGCCAGGCGAGUUGCGCCGCUGCAUGGGGACAUGAUUCGCUGACGGGUGCGGACCGUAGUACGGUGCUGCCGACGGCGGCUGGCGGGCCGGCAAUGGAGCGGCUGGUCACCUGCACACCACAUCGCACACGAACAUACAGCGCACAUGAACACACAGCGGACCAGGAAGGAAAACCCUCGACGGGUGCAAGGAGCGGCUUGAUGUGGCUCCAGCAACAACGACAACAACAACAGCAUUCUUAUGACUUGACGAGCCUUCUUGCUUUUUGCUGCUCGCUAUUACCACCUCUCGCACCCACCAAUGCAACCCGCACCCAACCUACCAAGCCCACCUGACCCACGCAUCUACGCAUGACGCCCAGGCGAACUCCGCCAGGCUCGCACGCCGCCGCGGCACCGCCCGGGCAAGCGGCAGCGCAGCGCCGCCGCAGCGCCCACACCUGCCGCAUCCAGUCCCGCUUGGCGGUAGCCAGGGAGCGCGCGCUGCAACAUGUGUUUGGUAAAAAGAGCACAAUGGAGGUUAAGCGCGAAGGCUGUGUGUGCGAUGCACGUGUUUGUGUAUGUUUUGUGUGUUUGUGACUUUGUGUGCUUGUGUGUGUUUGUGACUUUGUGUGUUUGUGUGUGUUUGUGGAGGGGGUAUUUUACUUUUACUCCACCGAGACCCAGCACCCGCCCAACGAGCACGGGAAGGGGGGGGCGGGGGCGACAGGAGCAGGAGGUGCAUGAGGGUGUGUUUGGUGUACAUGGGGCCAGCUGGGCACCAGGGGUGCUGGGCACCACCUGCAGGCGCUGAGCACAAGGUGGCUGUGGGCGCGUGCGGCCGUACACGCACCCGGCAUACAUGCGCGGCGCCCUGCCCGCCCACGAUAUUCGGGCCCCCCAGCAGCACAACACCUGAACACUUGUUUAUGCCCCGCGCGGUGCCCCACCCACCGGUCCUCCACCCACUCCGCUGCCCCGCCCCCACCCCACCAAACCACCCACCAGGUCGCUGCCCGCCAGCGCCUCCACCGCCUCCGCCGGGAACUCCUCCACACACGAGGGCUGCCAGCCGCCGCCCAAUGACAAUACCCCAUGUCAACCCCCUCAUACCCGGGGGCCACCGCCUCCUCCCCCUCUCCCUGCCCCUCCUCAUCUGGCGGCGGUGGCGGCGGCAGUACGUCAAAGGUAGCCAACAGCCAUAUGUAGCUUCUGGCUCGAAGGCGCUUACGGAUUUGCACGGAAAGCUACAUUACCGUAAUACAUAGUGACGGGACACCAGGACUCAUCGACCAUCCAACGCUCGCAGGUCGCCGCUGCUCUGGAGACUGGAUGCUGGAGCCUGAGGACUGGACUGGAGGAUGAAGCUGGCCAGUUGACGUUGAUGUUGUUUAGUUCGUUAGGAUGCACGCACGUUGGUCGGUCGGUCUCUACUGCCUUGUCUACUGCUCAGUGCGGCUCUUGCACGCGUGUGCGGUUCUAGACUGCAUGUCUAGCACAUUCACGCGCCGGACUUCCACCGGUCCGGUCCGGCGGCCCCCUCGAUUCUAUCUCGAGCCUUUGAUGGGGCGCUCUGUCACUGUGGCUGCUGGGUAAAGCGUAGCCAGGGGGGCUUACGUCCCUUCCUUGGGGUGUGUGAGGAGUUGGUGGACUUCAGACCCCUACGCCGUGUGGGGGGUCGGACUGGG
RNAcentral lists this long non-coding RNA (48776 nucleotides) under Chlamydomonas reinhardtii. Its description in RNAcentral is "long non-coding RNA (CREI_LNC001285)". The stretch from base 45195 to 45268 matches the Rfam family "tRNA". Lineage: Eukaryota; Viridiplantae; Chlorophyta; Chlorophyceae; Chlamydomonadales; Chlamydomonadaceae. The record is from RNAcentral.